This 60492-nucleotide long non-coding RNA is filed under the name Triticum aestivum (bread wheat). RNAcentral's name for it is "long non-coding RNA (TAES_LNC021627)". Lineage: Eukaryota; Viridiplantae; Streptophyta; Magnoliopsida; Poales; Poaceae. The record is from RNAcentral.
GUGAGCUGCUUUGAGAUGUUCUUGUUUUGUGUUUGCCAAGUGGACCACGGAAAAGUUAUAUAGCGAACAACGCAAGAGAACAAAGUGAGCUACAAAGCAUACACAACUACUGAUAGUUUUACACAGCCACACACCCAUACAUAUCGGCACUCUCCACUGGCCGAACCACACAAAAUUCUACGGGGUACACUUUCACUAACCAUCGUGGUAAUGAAGUGCAGUUUUUACAAUGAACUAAUGAAGUGCAGUUUUCAACAAAAACAAAAUUGAGGAACGGGCCAUCCAGCCGAACUACAUCACUUCACCUUUCCUGCAAAUAUAAGUAGAAUGAACGUCAAUAGCAAACCACAGAGGACUUCAUUUGGACUUUUUUCUGUUUAGAAAAGCACAAAAAUCAAUGAAAUGCAGAAGAGCAUUAUGCGUCUCCUGAUGCUCUACUCGCCAUGUUUGCAGUAGGCCGCCGGGAAGGGCGAUGCAGUGGGGAGAGGAGGCCCAUGGAACCUCCAGAUAGGCCCAGCGCGCUGCAUAGGAUGCGCCCGCGAGCUGCACCCCAAGCGAGUGAAAUACAAAAUGACUAAAAAAUCACUGUGGCAUGUAGCCACCACAACGAAACUGCAAUCCUGCCUGAUUCCCGAUCUACACUGCACGAGGAGUCGCAGCGCACUGCACGCCCACGGCCGUGCUGCUCCAGCGACGGAGGAUGGGAGGUGGAAGAGGGGGACCGAGGGGCGGCGACCCAAGAACUCGGCGGCACCUGCGCGGGUACUUGGGGCGCGACCUGACCGGGGGAGCCUGGAUCCAUCGUCGGAGGUUGAGGCUGAUGCGCUCAUUGGUGCAAUGGGGGCGGGGCCUGGCAGCGCGGCGGUGUUGCCCGGCACCGCAGGGAGGUAGUGAAUGGGGAGGGGGCGGGGGCGGAUCCCACCGGAUCCCACGAGGACGACGACGCUGGAGGCGGACCCCACCGGAUCCCACGGGGACGACGACGCUGGAGGCGGAUCGGAUCCGGCACCGGGAGAGGUCGCGGUGGUGGUACGACCACCAUGGAUGGGGAGGAGGAGGGGUUGUUCUGGUCAACGGAGCAGGGGGCGGUGGCCAUCCAGGAGAAGUAGGGGGCGGUGCCACGGGAAAGUGCUGCAGGGGAGGAGGCGGAGCGUGGUGGUAGGUGGCAGGGUAGGGCUCCGGCGACGCGCGGCGAGGGCGGGGCUCCGGCGGUGCGGGUUGGAAGAAGGAGGUCAGCCGCAUCGCAGGGAGGGGCCGACGCGGGGUGGGAGGUAGGAGGUCGUCGGGAUGGCGCCGCGGCGGCGCGGGGGAAGGAGGUGGGGCGACGGCGCGGGCGAAGAUGGCGGCUAGGCGGCGCGGGGGAGGAAGGUGGUGCGGCGGCGCGGGCAGGGAGGUGGUCUGGUGGCGAGGCGGUGGGAUGCGGGUGUGGAGCACGGGGGAGCGAGGGGUGGAGGAGAGGAUAAGGCGGGGUGGGUUCUGUUUUUUUUUCAUUGCGUCCGUAGUUUGGUCGUGGUUAGUUUGUAGCUACAGGUGGGUCGGGGUGUUAUCAAAAUAAGCUCCGAUCUUAUCAUAAUAAGACUCUUAAGGAUGUUAUCAGAAUAGACCCAUCCUAUAUAUAUAUAUGUAUAUAUGUGUGAAUUAAUUAAUGAUGGUUGUGAGACAUUCGAAUUAGCUAGCUAUAUACAAUUUCUCCUAUACAAGAAUGGAAAUUUCUCCUAUAUACAAUUUCACCAAUUUCCACUCCUGUCUUUGAGAUCUGCUCGUUUCGGAUGCCAUCAUGUGAAUGUUCUCGCAAACGUAGUAUGCACACAGAUUAUUCCCCGGCGCCUGCUUCAGGGCCUUUACGAGAAUGGAAUUUGAUCAGAUGAUAAUUAAUCAAGCAUGAUAAUUAAAGAGAUGACAGCUAGCUAGUACUACUUAAUUACUUACCAUGGGUCGAUAUCAUUUUAGAUUUUGUUUCCAUGGGCAUGUAGUGACCCUGAUGAACUUUGCCCAAGCCCUGCCCGCCGACAAAGAAAAUGAAUAAAUGGGUUAUUAAAUAGAGUUACCAGGAAAUGACGAACUAAUUAAAUAGGUCGAGAUAUAGUUAAUAAUGAUUGAAAUUACAUGUUGACUAUCCCCUUCAUGAUGGUGUAGUCAGUUGGUUUCUUAAGUAGUGAGUCUAGUCCUUGAACUGUUCAUUCAUCAACUUUAAUGAUUAACAAUAUCCAGUGAAAUCUGGAUGCACAUAAGUUUGCAUGUCUUAAUUAAGCGGGCAUAUGUAAGCAAAAACAUGUAGCUAGCUAGUAGGCAAAACAUAAUUUAUAGUACAAGACAGUGUGACUCACUCGAAGUUGUAAGAAAGUAGUAUAUCUUCAUUGUAUUUGAGGUGCUUGAAGAACUCUAGCAUGCUUUCCUCUACACUUUUUUCGUAAUAUGGAUCUAAUUUCCAUAUGUAUUCAUUAAUGGUAUUUGGGUCAACGAACCCAAUGCCAUAGCAUUCACAUUUUUCAUUUCAUAAAUCUUCAUCCUGCAUAAUACCACAGAAAAGAAUAUAGUGAGGAUAAUUACAGGUAAUGAUUGAUCAAAAUGAUCACUACAGCUAGCUUGAGACUUAAAUUACAGAAAGAAAUCACUUAAAGACAAUAGCAACUGACGAUAGAUUUGUCAAGUGCGUCUUGAUUGUAUAACUGAAAUAGUUCUGAAUACUCAACGGACACAGCUUUCUCAUGGUAUUAAUGAUCCUUCUUGACAUUUACCAUGCGGGACUCUCGGUUGGAAAUCUUGGUAAUGCCCAUGUACCACUAGAAGAAAUCUGUUGAUCCAUGACGGAUUUCGCAUGACGUUUUCGAAAUCUGUCAUGAAUGGCCCGGUACAGCCCCGCAAGCCCGCUAAAGCCUGCCAAAGCCCGCCUAACCAUUCACGUAUAAAAACCAAACCCUAAGUGCCUCCUCCUCGGCCCCCUCCUCUCUCUAUCUCUCCCUUCGUCGCAGCCCUCCUCCCCGUUCCCCAUCUUCUCACACACAUAGCCGCCACCCACCACCACAUCGCCUCCUCCCACUGCUCGUCGCCGGCCCUCCUCCUCUCACCUCGCUGCUCCGGCAGCUGCUAGAUCCGUCGCAACCCCCACCAAUCCAUCCCUCGCGCGACCCAUCUCUCUCUCUCUCUCUCUCUCUCUCUCCCGUGAAUCGUCGCGCCGCCACAAACAUCCGCCGAUUCCGGCGACUUCCGCCACCGUGCAGCACGAUCAUGAGUUCAUCUCCGACCCCUCCGCCAUCCUGCCCGGCUGGAUCCGCAGCUCCCUGCCCCCUGCGCUCGCACUCAAACCCUAGCCCAUGCCUAGGGUUUCGGCUGCGGCGGGCGCGUCCGUCGCUGGCGCGUCUCCAGCAGCACCACUCCGUCGUGCAUCGCGCCCCCUCGCGCCUCUCCGCCUCCCCCAAGCUCAGUGCGUUCGACUGUGUUGGGCUGGACGGCGGCGACCCCGACGCCCUCUUCCGCGUCUCUGGCGAAGCGAUGUGUCCUGUACUCCUGUGGCUACCUCCUCUAUUACGCGACGACGAUGUCUGGCCUGCACUGCGACCACUGCAUUGCUUACAAAUGUCUCCGAUGAGCACUGCGACCUCUGCCUCCCUCUUCUGCUUGAUUCAGCUUGAUUUUGUAUCUUUCGUCUCAAGAAUUGAUGAUUUAAUAUUUACAAACAUUAAUCCCUCUGCUAUAGAAUUUAUAGUCUAGUAGCAAAUUAGGCUCAUAGUCACUAAAUUGUUUGAUGCUUUCCUGAUUUGAUUAAGAUGACUGUUGCAAUCAGGUAGCUGUAGUUUUAGUUGACUGUACUUUUUUAUCUGUAUUAUGUGAAAGUGAACUUCGGAGUGCAAAAUUGUAUUUGUUGUGCAUUUUUAUAUCUUUCCAGAACCAAAAGAGAUGAAUUGAACCUCUUCUUACCGCCUAAUAAAAGGGAAUGUGCAGAACUGUAUGUGCUGUACAUUUUUGUAUCUUUCUAGAACCGAAAGAGAUAGAGAAUUGAACCUCUUCUUACUGCCUAAUAAAAGGGAGUGUAGUACUGGUUCAAUCACUUCGAGAAUGCUUCUUGAUAUACCAGGAAAAGGGAGUUAUCCACUUUUAAGAAUUACUGGAUGUUGCUUUACAUUCUACUGUAGCCUUUUUGUCUUUCUGUAUUGUGGAAUCAGUGUUCCUUGUCUGACAUAUUUCUCUACUGAUGUGAAGUGUAUAUAUUAAUAUCCCAUUAAUGUAGUACAUAGUCAGUCAUAACUACUUUAUAAUAGUUUAGAUAUACUUCCCUGAAAUGUUAUGUGAACCAUUGUAUAGCUCUUAUGUUCAUCAUUACUUCCCUGUAUAGCUCUUCUGUUUAUCAUUACUUCCAGCUUGGUUGUUAUUUUUUGCAGUACUGGUAGAGAUCAGAUUGCCAUAGCCCAUUAUAUAAGUUCUAUGUUUGAUUGAUUUCCUCUACCAAUUCUAAAUAUAAUAAUCAAAAUUUGCAUUUGUUUAAUGCAAGAUCUGUUAUCAAAAUCGAGAGUUAGUGGUUCAAGUUUAUUAAAUCAUGUUAAGUGUAGUGUAACUUUGAAACUGUCUCCACCUUGAACAUUUCAUUUAUUCUUGCUUUCUUUACCAUUAGUAGGUAUUAUUUAUAAUCUGCUUCCUCAAUUCCAAAAUAAUUGAAUUUGACCAAGUUUAUUAGAAGCUAUAUCAACAUCUGCACCACAUAAUUAGUUUCACUAGAUUCAUUGUAAAAUACAUUUUUGUAAAAAAGAGCUCACUUGUCUGUUCUUGAUACUAUAGUAUACCUAUUAUGUCUGAUCUCACAUGUAGAUAGGUGUAUUUGUUUACAUAAGAAAAAUUACAUGAAGUUAGUUCAUGAUCAUGGCUUAGGGAAAAAAAGGUGUGCACUAUGGUAAAAAGAGGUACAAUUUUGUUCCAAGUAGUUUUCCAGAAACAAUAAUUUAUCUUGUUCAUAUCCCUUUAUUAUUUGUCAACACCCCUCUGAUCUUUCAGAUGAUAAUUUUUCAAAGGUACCUACAGUUGCACAACAAGGUGGAGCUCCUCAGCGCUUUGGCAUGGGUAAGCUCCUAUGCCCUUCAAGAUGAUUUGAACUAUUUGGCACUAGGUUACUCGUGAUUAGUCGUCGAUGUUGUGUUGCUGCAAUGAAACAAUAUUGUUGAUUAAUGAAAGACAAGCAAUCCUGGCAUAAUUCUUAAGUAUAUAGGCCUCACGAGUGAGGUUCAAAUCACGUGAAAUAAAAAUGAUGGUUCAGAUAAUAAUAACUACUAUUUAUGUUGUUGUAAUCAACUUACCAUUUUGUAACAGAAGCAUAUUGUUUGUUACAGGUUUACUUGGUGGUCGGAGCCACAAAGGAAGUUGGAGGUGUAGACGUGAACUUGAUGAUUAAGAGGGUAUGUACAAUUUUGUAUAUUUGUAGAUGUAAUCGGGUGUAAUUAUUAUUGAGGGCAUGUGAUCUGAUGUUGGAUGUAUUAUCUGGAUGUAUUAUUGGCCACCUUUUAGAAGGUCUUUACUCAGUGAAAUAUUGAAUAGAAAUUUGUCAAAUGCUUCAAAUUAUGGGCCUGUUCAAUAGAAAUUAAUUAUGUUGUGAAAGCUUGUUUGAUUACAUGUAAUGGGUGGCGCUGGUUGGAUGGAAAUCAUGGCUGGACUAAAAUAAAUGGUCUAAACUACCACAAUAAAUAAUGCGGAUGCCACGUCACAUCCAUGCUGGUGCCAUGUAGAUGCCACGUCAAGCCCAUUUUUGUGCAACGUCAUCUCAAUCCAUGACGGACUAGUCUGUCACAGAGGACCGGGCCUGGGCGGGCCUAGGGACUGACCGGUGACGGUCAGGAUCCGUCAUGGUGGUACAGUUGUCAAAUUAUGACGCGAUAUACAUGACGGAUUUUAAAUCCGUCAUGGACCACCCUCCUUGACGGUUUUGCAAUGUUCCAUGACAGACAGUAUCCGUCAUGGAGUAACAAGAUUCUUGUAGUGUACCAUUGAUGCAAUUCAUACAUUCUCGUUGGGAGCUUCUUGACCUCGUCUGGCUUGACCAAAGGUUGGCCCCGGACAUAUUUCCGUUUUAUUUCCUCCUCUCUAGUCAGAGACAUGGGCUCGAUAUCGAGGAGUUGUCCAACAGUGAUCAUGACGCUUUUAGCCUGCUCAAUAUGCUCCCUGGUUAUUACCACAUCGCCCAGCCCGGGAAUGUUAACGGUUUGCCCACAAUAAUAUUGGGCGCUCAUACUCUCANNNNNNNNNNNNNNNNNNNNNNNNNNNNNNNNNNNNNNNNNNNNNNNNNNNNNNNNNNNNNNNNNNNNNNNNNNNNNNNNNNNNNNNNNNNNNNNNNNNNNNNNNNNNNNNNNNNNNNNNNNNNNNNNNNNNNNNNNNNNNNNNNNNNNNNNNNNNNNNNNNNNNNNNNNNNNNNNNNNNNNNNNNNNNNNNNNNNNNNNNNNNNNNNNNNNNNNNNNNNNNNNNNNNNNNNNNNNNNNNNNNNNNNNNNNNNNNNNNNNNNNNNNNNNNNNNGUUCUCCAAGCUGGGGAAUGGUUUUACCGCAUGUUUUGCCAGCUGAUUUGCUCGAGCUCGAGCUCGCCUCUUUCUGUAGACGUGCUUGAUUUAACUUCCUGAGGUGGCGCUCAUAGUCUGUGUCAACAGGCUUGGGAGCUGGUGCUCUAGCCAUACAAAUGAAGUGGUCAAUCUUUUCCUCAGGCACUUUCUCCCUUGGCGGCGGUGGCGGUUUCGGUGCAAAAUGGGCUUCCACCUCAGCCUUCGAUAUGGCUACGUUUUCCUCCUCGGACUUGUCGUAAGGCCUUUGUGGAAGAGGCGCGAGGCUGCUUGGACCAUAUUGAAAUCGCUUGCCUCCGCAUGUACCUCCAGUACUACCUCGACUUGUACCGCUACGCACCAUAGCUGAGGCGGCUCUCUUCCAUGAUUGUUGAGGCGGCGAAGACGGCUGACGUGGCUGAGUUGGAGGAGGAGGAGUGGCCUGAAGCUGUGCCGGACUUGGAGGAGGAGUGGCUGUUGGAAAUAUGCCCUAGAGGCAAUAAUAAAAUGGUUAUUAUUAUAUUUCUUUGUUCAUGAUAAUUGUCUAUUGUUCAUGCUAUAAUUGUGUUAUUCGGAAAUCGUAAUACAUGUGUGAAUACAUAGACCACAACAUGUCCCUAGUGAGCCUCUAGUUGACUAGCUCGUUGAUCAAAAGAUAGUCAUGGUUUCCUGACUAUGGACAUUGGAUGUCAUUGAUAACGGGAUCACAUCAUUAGGAGAAUGAUGUGAUGGACAAGACCCAAUCCUAAGCUUAGCUCAAAGAUCGUGUAGUUCGUUUGCUGUAGCUUUUUUGAAUGUCAAGUAUCAUUUCCUUAGACCAUGAGAUUGUGCAACUCCCGGAUACCGUAGGAGUGCCUUGGGUGUGCCAAACGUCACAACGUAACUGGGUGACAAUAAAGGUACAUUACAGGUAUCUCCGAAAGUGUCUAUUGGGUUGGCAUGAAUCAAGACUGGGAUUUGUCACUCCGUAUGACGGAGAGGUAUCUCUGGGCCCACUCGGUAAUGCAUCAUCAUAAUGAGCUCAAUGUGAUCAAGUGGUUGAUCACGGAAUCAUGCAUUACGGUACGAGUAAAGUGACUUGCCGGUAACGAGACUGAACAAGGUAUUGGGAUACCGACGAUCGAGUCUCGGGAAAGUAACGUACCGAUUGACAAAGGGAAUUGUACAUUGUUGAGAAAAUCGUUAACUGGUAACUGCUCGUUUGGCUGGUGAGUAGAGGAUUAAUAGGCUAAUUGGCAAGUUAAUCCUGAAGGAAAUAUGCCCUAGAGGCAAUAAUAAAGUUAUUAUUUAUUUCCUUAUAUCAUGAUAAAUGUUUAUUAUUCAUGCUGGAAUUGUAUUAACCGGAAACAUAAUACAUGUGUGAAUACAUAGACAAACUUAGUGUCACUAGUAUGCCUCUACUUGACUAGCUCGUUAAUCAAAGAUGGUUAUGUUUCCUAACCAUGAACAAAGUGUUGUUAUUUGAUUAACGGGAUCACAACAUUAAGAGAAUGAUCUGAUUGACAUGACCCAUUCCAUUAGCUUAGCACCCGAUCGUUUAGUAUGUUGCUAUUGCUUUCUUCAUGACAUAUACAUGUUCCUAUGACUAUGAGAUUAUGCAACUCCCGUUUGCCGGAGGAGCACUUUGGGUGCUACCAAACGUCACAACGUGACUGGGUGAUUAUAAAGGAGCAUUACAGGUGUCUCCAAAGGUAGAUGUUGGGUUGGCGUAUUUCGAGAUUAGGAUUUGUCACUUCGAUUGUCGGAGAGGUAUCUCUGGGCCCUCUCGGUAAUGCACAUCACAUAAGCCUUGCAAGCAUUGCAACUAAUGAGUUAGUUGCGAGAUGAUGUAUUACGGAACGAGUAAAGAGACUUGCCGGUAACGAGAUUGAACUAGGUAUUGGAAUACCGACGAUCGAAUCUCGGGCAAGUAACAUACCGAUGACAAAGGGAACAACGUAUGUUGUUAUGCGGUCUGACCAAUAAAGAUCUUCGUAGAAUAUGUAGGAGCCAGUAUGGGCAUCCAGGUCCCGCUAUUGGUUAUUGACCGGAGACGUGUCUCGGUCAUGUCUACAUUGUUCUCGAACCCGUAGGGUCCGCACGCUUAAGGUUACGAUGACAGUUAUAUUAUGAGUUUAUGCAUUUUGAUGUACCGAAGGUUGUUCGGAGUCCCGGAUGUGAUCACGGACAUGACGAGGAGUCUCGAAAUGGUCGAGACAUAAAGAUUGAUCUAUUGGAAGCCUAUGUUUGGAUAUCGGAAGUGUUCCGGGUGAAAUCGGGAUUUUACCGGAGUACCGGGAGAUUACCGGAACCCCCCGGGGAGCUAUAUGGGCCUUAGUGGGCCUUAGUGGAAAAGAGAAGGGGCUGCCCUAGAUGGGCUGCGUGCCACCCUCCCUCCCCUAGUCCUAUUAGGACAAGGAGAGGUGGCCGGCCCCCCCUCUCUCUUUUCCCCCUCCGCGAAUCCUAUUCCAAUUAGGAUUGGGGGGGAGGGAAUCCUACUCCCAGAGGGAGUAGGACUCUCCUGGCAUGCCAAGCUUGGCCGGCCAGCCUCCCCCUCUAGUCCUUUAUAUACUGAGGCAGAGGCACCCCAGAAACACACAAGUUAAUCCACGUGAUCUAUUCCUUAGCCGUGUGCGGUGCCCCCAGCCACCAUAGUCCUCGAUAAUACUAUAGCGGAGUUUAGGCGAAGCCCUGCUGCUGUAGUACAUCAAGAUCGUCACCACGCCGUCGUGCUGACGGAACUCUUCCCUGACACUUUGCUGGAUCGGAGUCCGGGGAUCGUCAUCGAGCUGAACGUGUGCUCGAACUCGGAGGUGCCGUAGUUUCGGUGCUUGAUCGGUUGGAUCGUGAUGACAUACGACUACUUCCUCUACGUUGUGUCAACGCUUCCGCAGUCGGUCUGCGUGGGUACGUAGACAGCACUCUCCCCUCUCGUUGCUAUACAUCACAUGAUCUUGCGUGUGCAUAGGAAUUUUUUUGAAAUUACUACGAAAACCAACAGUGGCAUCCGAGCCUAGGUUAUUUAUGUUGAUGUUAUAUGCACGAGUAGAACACAAGUGAGUUGUGGGCGAUAUAAGUCAUACUGCCUACCAGCAUGUCAUACUUUGGUUUGGCGGCAUUGUUGGACGAGACGACCCGGACCAACAUUACGCGUACGCUUACGCGAGACCGGUUUCCCCGACGUGCUUUGCACACAGGUGGCUUGCGGGCGACUGUCUCUCCAACUUUAGUUGAACCAAGUAUGGCUACGCCCGGUUCUUGCGAAGGUUAAAACGGAGUCUAUUUGACAAACUAUCGUUGUGGUUUUGAUGCGUAGGUGAGAUUGGUUCUUGCUUAAGCCCGUAGCAGCCACGUAAAACUUGCAACAACAAAGUAGAGGACGUCUAACUUGUUUUUGCAGGGCAUGUUGUGAUGUGAUAUGGUCAAGACAUGAUGCUGAAUUUUAUUGUAUGAGAUGAUCAUGUUUUGUAACCGAGUUAUCGGCAACUGGCAGGAGCCUUAUGGUUGUCGCUUUAUUGUAUGCAAUGAAAUCGCGAUGUAAUGCUUUACUUUAUCACUAAGCGGUAGGGAUAGUCGUGGAAGCACAAACUUGGCGAGACGACAACGAUGCUACGAUGGAGAUCAAGGUGUCACGCCGGUGACGAUGGUGAUCACAACGGUGCUUCGGAGAUGGAGAUCACAAGCACAAGAUGAUGAUGGCCAUAUCAUAUCACUUAUAUUGAUUGCAUGUGAUGUUUAUCCUUUUAUGCAUCUUAUCUUGCUUUGAUUGACGGUAGCAUUAUAAGAUGAUCUCUCACUAAAUUAUCAAGAAGUGUUCUCCCUGAGUAUGCACCGUUGCGAAAGUUCUUCGUGCUGAGACACCACGUGAUGAUCGGGUGUGAUAGGUUCUACGUUCAAAUACAACGGGUGCAAAACAGUUGCGCACGCAGAAUACUCAGGUUAUACUUGACGAGCCAAGCAUAUACAGAUAUGGCCUCGGAACACGGAGACCGAAAGGUCGAGCGUGAAUCAUAUGGUAGAUAUGAUCAACAUAACGAUGUUCACCAUUGAAAACUACUCCAUCUCACGUGAUGAUCGGUUAUGGUUUAGUUGAUUUGGAUCACGUAAUCACUUAGAGGAUUAGAGGGAUGUCUAUCUAAGUGGGAGUUCUUUAAUUAAUUUGAUUAACUGAACUUAAAUUUAUCAUGAAACUUAGUACCUGAUUAGUAUCUUGCUUGUUUAUGUUUGAUUGUAGAUAGAUGGCUCGUGCUGUUGUUCCAUUGAAUUUUAAUGCGUUCCUUGAGAAAGCAAAGUUGAAAGAUGAUGGUAGCAAUUACACGGACUGGGUCCGUAACUUGAGGAUCAUCCUCAUUGCUGCACAGAAGAAUUACAUCCUGGAAGCACCGCUGGGUGCCAGGCCUGCUGCAGGAGCAACACCGGUUGUUAUGAACGCCUGGCAGAGCAAAGCUGAUGACUACUCGAUAGUUCAGUGUGCCAUGCUUUACGGCUUAGAAUCGGGACUUCAACGACGUUUUGAACGUCAUGGAGCAUAUGAGAUGUUCCAUGAGUUGAAGUUAGUAUUUCAAGCAAAUGCCCGGAUUGAGAGAUAUGAAGUCUCCAAUAAGUUCUAUAGCUGCAAGAUGGAGGAGAACAGUUCUGUCAGUGAGCAUAUACUCAAAAUGUCUGGGUAUAAUAAUCACUUGAUUCAAUUGGGAGUUAAUCUUCCAGAUGAUUGCGUCAUUGACAGAAUUCUCCAAUCACUGCCACCAAGCUACAAGAGCUUCGUGAUGAACUAUAAUAUGCAAGGGAUGAACAAUACUAUUCUCGAGCUCUUCGCGAUGCUGAAAGCUGCGGAGGUAGAAAUCAAGAAGGAGCAUCAAGUGUUGAUGGUCAACAAGACCACUAGUUUCAAGAAAAAGGGCAAAGGAAAGAAGAAGGGGAACUUCAAGAAAAACGGCAAGCCAGUUGCUGCUCAAGAGAAGAAACCCAAGUCUGGACCUAAUCCUGAAUCUGAGUGCUUCUAUUGCAAGCAGACUGGUCACUGGAAGCGGAACUGCCCCAAGUAUUUGGCGGAUAAGAAGGAUGGCAAGGUGAACAAAGGUAUAUGUGAUAUACAUGUUAUUGAUGUGUACCUUACUAAUGCUCGCAGCAGCACCUGGGUAUUUGAUACUGGUUCUGUUGCUAAUAUUUGCAACUCGAAACAGGGACUACGGAUUAAGCGAAGAUUGGUUAAGGACGAGGUGACGAUGCGCGUGGAAAACGGUUCCAAAGUCGAUGUGAUCGCAGUCGGCACGCUACCUCUACAUCUACCUUCGGGAUUAGUAUUAGACCUAAAUAAUUGUUAUUUGGUGCCAGCGUUAAGCAUGAACAUUAUAUCUGGAUCUUGUUUGAUGCGAGAUGGUUAUUCAUUUAAAUCAUAGAAUAAUGGUUGUUCUAUUUAUAUGAGUAAUAUCUUUUAUGGUCAUGCACCCUUGAAGAGAGGUCUAUUCUUGUUGAAUCUCGAUAGUAGUAACACACAUAUUCAUAAUGUUGAAGCCAAAAGAUGCAGAGUUGAUAAUGAGAGUGCAACUUAUUUGUGGCACUGCCGUUUAGGUCAUAUCGGUGUAAAGCGCAUGAAGAAACUCCAUACUGAUGGACUUUUGGAACCACUUGAUUAUGAAUCACUUGGUACUUGCGAACCGUGCCUCAUGGGCAAGAUGACUAAAACACCGUUCUCCGGUACUAUGGAGAGAGCAACAGAUUUGUUGUAAAUCAUACAUACAGAUGUAUGUGGUCCGAUGAAUAUUGAGGCUCGUGGCAGAUAUCGUUAUUUUCUCACCUUCAUAGAUGAUUUAAGCAGAUAUGGGUAUAUCUACUUAAUAAAACAUAAGUCUGAAACAUUUGAAAAGUUCAAGGAGUUUCAAAGUGAAGUUGAAAAUCAUCGUAACAAGAAAAUCGUGGAGGAGAAUAUUUGAGUUACGAGUUUGGUGUACAUUUGAAAAUUGUUGAAUAGUUUCGCAACUCACGCCACCCGGAACACCACAGCGUAAUGGUGUGUCCGAACAUCGUAAUCGUACUUUACUAGAUAUGGUGCGAUCUAUGAUGUCUCUUACUGAUUUACCGCUAUCGUUUUGGGGAUACGCUCUAGAGACGGCCGCAUUCACGUUAAAUAGGGCACCAUCAAAAUCCGUUGAGACGACGCCUUAUGAACUAUGGUUUGGCAAGAAACCAAAGUUGUCGUUUCUGAAAGUUUGGGGCUGCGAUGCUUAUGUGAAAAAGCUUCAACCUGAUAAGCUCGAACCCAAAUCGGAGAAAUGUGUCUUCAUAGUAUAUCCAAAGGAAACUAUUGGAUACACCUUCUAUCACAGAUCCGAAGGCAAGACUUUUGUUGCUAAAUUCGGAAACUUUCUGGAGAAGGAGUUUCUCUCGAAAGAAGUGAGUGGGAGGAAAGUAGAACUUGACGAGGUGACUGUACCUGCUCCCUUACUGGAAAGUAGUACAUCACAGAAAACUGUUUCAGUGACACCUACACCAGUUAGUGAGGAAGCUAAUGAUAAUGAUCAUGAAACUUCAGAACAAGAUACUACUGAACCUCGUAGAUCAACCAGAGUAAGAUCCGCGCCAGUGUGGUACGCUAAUCCCGUUCUGGAAGUCCUGAUGCUAGAUCAUGAUGAACCUACGAACUAUGAAGAAGCAAUGGUGAGCCCAGAUUCCGCAAAGUGGCUUGAAGCCAUGAAAUCUGAGAUGGGAUCCAUGUAUGAGAACAAAGUAUGGACUUUGGUUGACUUGCCCGAUGAUCGGCAAGCAAUUGAGAAUAAAUGGAUCUUCAAGAAGAAGACUGACGCUGACGGUAAUAUUACUGUCUACAAAGCUCGACUUGUCGCAAAAGGUUUUCGGCAAGUUCAAGGGAUUGACUACGAUGAGACCUUCUCACCCGUAGCGAUGCUUAAGUCUGUCCGAAUCAUGUUAGCAAUUGCCGCAUUUUAUGAUUAUGAAAUUUGGCAGAUGGAUGUCAAAACUGCAUUCCUGAAUGGAUUUCUGGAAGAAGAGUUGUAUAUGAUGCAACUAGAAGGUUUUGUCGAUCCAAAGGGAGCUAACAAAGUGUGCAAGCUCCAGCGAUCCAUUUAUGGACUGGUGCAAGCCUCUCGGAGUUGGAAUAAACGUUUUGGUAGUGUGAUCAAAGCAUUUGGUUUUAUACAGACUUUUGGAGAAGCCUGUAUUUACAAGAAAGUGAGUGGGAGCUCUAUAUCAUUUCUGAUAUUAUAUGUGGAUGACAUAUUAUUAAUUGGAAAUGAUAUAGAAUUUCUGGAUAGCAUAAAAGGAUACUUGAAUAAAAGUUUUUCAAUGAAAGACCUCGGUGAAGCUGCUUACAUAUUAGGCAUUAAGAUCUAUAGAGAUAGAUCAAAACGCUUAAUUGGACUUUCACAAACAACAUACCUUGACAAAAUUUUGAAGAAGUUCAAAAUGGAUCAAGCAAAGAAAGGGUUCUUGCCUGUGUUACAAGGUGUGAGAUUGAGUAAGACUCAAAGCCCGACCACUGCAGAAGAUAGAGAGAAAAUGAAAGAUGUUCCCUAUGCUUCAGCCAUAGGCUCUAUCAUGUAUGCAAUGCUGUGUACCAGACCUGAUGUGUGCCUUGCUAUAAGUUUAGCAGGGAGGUACCAAAGUAAUCCAGGAGUGGAUCACUGGACAGCGGUCAAGAACAUCCUGAAAUACCUGAAAAGGACUAAGGAUAUGUUUCUCGUAUAUGGAGGUGACAAAGAGCUCACCGUAAAAGGUUACGUUGAUGCAAGCUUUGACACUGAUCUGGACGAUUCUAAAUCGCAAACCGGAUACGUGUUUACAUUAAACGGUGGAGCUGUUAGUUGGUGCAGUUCUAAACAAAGCGUCGUAGCAGGAUCUACAUGUGAAGCGCAGUACAUAGCUGCUUCAGAAGCAGCAAACGAAGGAGUCUGGAUGAAGGAGUUCAUAUCCGAUCUAGGUGUCAUACCUAGUGCAUCGGGUCCAAUGAAAAUCUUUUGUGACAAUACUGGUGCAAUUGCCUUGGCAAAGGAAUCCGGGUUUCACAAAAGGACCAAGCACAUCAAGAGACGCUUCAAUUCCAUCCGGGAUCUAGUCCAGGUGGAGACAUAGAGAUUUGCAAGAUACAUACGGAUCUGAAUGUUGCAGACCCGUUGACUAAGCCUCUUCCACGAGCAAAACAUGAUCAGCACCAAGACUCCAUGGGUGUUAGAAUCAUCACAAUGUAAUCUAGAUUAUUGACUCUAGUGCAAGUGGGAGACUGAAGGAAAUAUGCCCUAGAGGCAAUAAUAAAGUUAUUAUUUAUUUCCUUAUAUCAUGAUAAAUGUUUAUUAUUCAUGCUGGAAUUGUAUUAACCGGAAACAUAAUACAUGUGUAAAUACAUAGACAAACUUAGUGUCACUAGUAUGCCUCUACUUGACUAGCUCGUUAAUCAAAGAUGGUUAUGUUUCCUAACCAUGAACAAAGUGUUGUUAUUUGAUUAACGGGAUCACAUCAUUAAGAGAAUGAUCUGAUUGACAUGACCCAUUCCAUUAGCUUAGCACCCAAUCGUUUAGUAUGUUGCUAUUGCUUUCUUCAUGACAUAUACAUGUUCCUAUGACUAUGAGAUUAUGCAACUCCCGUUUGCCGGAGGAGCACUUUGGGUGCUACCAAACGUCACAACGUGACUGGGUGAUUAUAAAGGAGCAUUACAAGUGUGUCCAAAGGUAGAUGUUGGGUUGGCGUAUUUCGAGAUUAGGAUUUGUCACUUCGAAUGUCGGAGAGGUAUCUGUGGGCCCUCUCGGUAAUGCACAUCACAUAAGCCUUGCAAGCAUUGCAACUAAUGAGUUAGUUGCGAGAUGAUGUAUUACGGAACGAGUAAAGAGACUUGCCGGUAAUGAGAUUGAACUAGGUAUUGGAAUACCGACGAUCGAAUCUCGGGCAAGUAACAUACCGAUGACAAAGGGAACAACGUAUGUUGUUAUGCGGUCUGACCGAUAAAGAUCUUCGUAGAAUAUGUAGGAGCCAGUAUGGGCAUCCAGGUCCCGCUAUUGGUUAUUUACCGGAGACGUGUCUCGGUCAUGUCUACAUUGUUCUCGAACCCGUAGGGUCCGCACGCUUAAGGUUACGAUGACAGUUAUAUCAUGAGUUUAUGCAUUUUGAUGUACAGAAGGUUGUUCGGAGUCCCGGAUGUGAUCACGGACAUGACGAGGAGUCUCGAAAUGGUCGAGACAUAAAGAUUGAUAUAUUGGAAGCCUAUGUUUGGAUAUCGGAAGUGUUUCGGGUGAAAUCGGGAUUUUACCGGAGUACCGGGAGGUUACCGGAACCCCCCGAGGAGCUAUAUGGGCCUUAGUGGGCCUUAGUGGAAAAGAGAAGGGGCUGCCCUAGAUGGGCUGCGCGCCACCCUCCCUCCCCUAGUCCUAUUAGGACAAGGAGAGGUGGCCGGGCCCCCCUCUCUUUUCCCCCUCCACGAAUCCUAUUCCAACUAGGAUUGGGGGGGGGGGGGAAUCCUACUCCCAGAGGGAGUAGGACUCUCCUGGCGCGCCAAGCUUGGCUGGCCAGCCUCCCCCCCUCUAGUCCUUUAUAUACUGAGGCAGAGGCACCCUAGAAACACACAAGUUGAUCCACGUGAUCUAUUCCUUAGCCGUGUGCGGCGCCCCCAGCCACCAUAGUCCUUGAUAAUACUGUAGCAGAGUUUAGGCGAAGCCCUGCUGCUGUAGUACAUCAAGAUUGUCACCACGCCGUCGUGCUGACGGAACUCUUCCCCGACACUUUGCUGGAUCGGAGUCCGGGGAUCGUCGUCGAGCUGAACGUGUGCUCGAACUCGGAGGUGCCGUAGUUUCGGUGCUUGAUCGGUUGGAUCGUGAAGACGUACGACUACUUCCUCUAUGUUGUGUCAACGCUUCCGCAGUCGGUUUGCGUGGGUACGUAGACAGCACUCUCCCCUCUCGUUGCUAUACAUCACAUGAUCUUGUGUGUGCGUAGGAAAUUUUUUGAAAUUACUACGAAACCCAACAAAUCGGCCAUUUAAUCAAUUAAUCGGAUGAUUUAUCAGUUUAUCGGCUACUCGGUGACCCUAUGAGUAGGGAUUAAUCGGCAAGUUAACUGGUUAAUCUGAUGAAUUCUUGAACAGGGGAAUUGUAUACGGAUUGAUUGAAUCCUCAACAUCGUGGUUCAUCCGAUGAGAUCAUCGUGGAGAAUGUGGGAGCCAACAUGGGUAUCCAUAUCCCGCUGUUGGUUAUUGACCGGAGAGGCUUCUCGGUCAUGUCUGCAUGUCUCCCGAACCCGUAGGGUCUACACACUUAAGGUUCGGUGACGCUAGGGUUGUUAGGAAGACUUGUAUGUGAUUACCGAAUGUUGUUCGGAUUCCCGGAUGUGAUCCCGGACGUCACGAGGAGUUCCGGAAUGGUCCGGAGGUAAAGAUUUAUAUAUGGGAAGUUGUCAUACGGUCGCCGGAAAGGUUCGGGGGCAUAUCAGUAUUGUACCGAGGCCACCGGAGGGGUUCCGAGGGUUCACCGGGAGGGUCCACCUCUUCCGGAGGGCCUUAUGGGCUGUAUGGAGAAGAGAACCAGCCCAAGUGGGCUGGGGCGCCACACCCCCCUAGGUCCCAUGCGCCUAGGGUUGGGGGAAACCCUAAGGGGGGGCACCCCCUUGCUUGGGGGGCAAGCCCCCCUCCCCUUGGCUGCCCCCCCUCUAGAUCUCAUCUAGAGGGGGCCGGCCCCCUUCCCGCUUCCCCUAUAAAUAGAGGGGUGAGGGGAGGGCUGCACACAACAUCCAAGGCGCAACCCCUCCCCUCCCCAACACCUCUCCUCCUCCAUAAGAGCUUGGCGAAGCCCUGCCGGAGUACUACAACUUCAUCACCACCACGCCGUCGUGCUGCUGUUGGAGCCCUCUUCCUCAACCUCUCCCUCCUCCUUGCUGGAUCAAGGCGCGGGAGACGUCCUCGCUCCGUACGUGUGUUGAACGCGGAGGUGUCGUCCGUUCGGCGCUAGGAUCUUCGGUGAUUUGAAUCACGUCGAGUACGACUCCAUCAUCCCGUUCUCUUGAACGCUUCCGCUCGUGAUCUACAAGGGUAUGUAGAUGCACUCCUCUCUCCCUCGUUGCUAGAUGACUACAUAGAUUGAUCUUGGUGAUGCGUAGAAAAUUUUAAAAUUCUGCUACGUUACCCAACAGUGGCAUCAUGAGCUAGGUCUAUGCGUAGUUACUAUGCACGAGUAGAACACAAAGUAGUUGUGGGCAUUGAUAUUGUCAAUUUGCUUGCCAUUACUAGUCUUAUCUUGAUUCGGCAGCAUCGUGGGAUGAAGCGGCCCGGACCAACCUUACACGUACGCUUACAUGAGACCGGUUCCACCGACUGACAUGCACUAGUUGCAUAAGGUGGCUGGCGGGUGUCUGUCUCUCCCACUUUACUCAGACCGAAUUCGAUGAACAGGGUCCUUAUGAAGGGUAAAUAGAAAUUGGCAAUUCACGUUGUGGUUUUGGCGUAGGUAAGAAAUGUUCUUGCUAGAAACCUAUAGCAGCCACGUAAAAACUUGCAACAACAAUUAGAGGACGUCUAACUUGUUUUUGCAGCAAGUGUUUUGUGAUGUGAUAUGGCCAAAGGAUGUGAUGUAUGAGAUGAUCAUGUUCUUGUAAUAGGAAUCACGACUUGCAUGUCGAUGAGUAUGACAACCGGCAGGAGCCAUAGGAGUUGUCUUUAUUUAUUUAUGACCUGCGUGUCAACAUAAACGUCAUGUAAUUACUUUACUUUAUUGCUAAAGCGGUAGCCAUAGUAGUAGAAGUAAUAGUUGACGUGACAACUUCAAGAAGACGCGAUGAUGGAGAUCAUGGUGUCAUGCCGGUGACAACGAUGAUCAUAGAGCCCCGAAGAUGGAGAUCAAAGGAGCAAAUGAUAUUGGCCAUAUCAUGUCACUAUUUGAUUGCAUGUGAUGUUUAUCAUGUUUUACAUCUUAUUUGCUUAGAACGACGGUAGCAUAAAUAAGAUGAUCCCUCGUAAAAUUUCAAGAAAGUGUUCCCCCUAACCGUGCACCGUUGUGAAGGUUCGUUGUUUCGAAGCACCACGUGAUGAUCGGGUGUGAUAGAUUCUAACGUUCGAAUACAACAGGUGUAAGACAAAUUUACACACGCAAUACACUUAGGUUGACUUGACGAGCCUAGCAUGUACAGACAUGGCCUCGGAACACAGAAGACCGAAAGGUCGAGCAUGAGUCGUAUAGAAGAUAUGAUCAACAUGAAGAUGUUCACCGAUGUUGACUAGUCUGUCUCACGUGAUGAUCGGACACAGCCUAGUUAACUCGGAUCAUGUUAUACUUAGAUGACUGGAGGGAUGUCUAUUUGAGUGGGAGUUCAAUGAAUAAUUUGAUUAGAUGAACUUAAUUAUCAUGAACUUAGUCUAAAAUCUUUACAAUAUGUCUUGUAGAUCAAAUGGCCAACGUUGUCCUCAACUUCAACACGUUCCUAGAGAAAACCAAGCUGGAAGACGAUGGCAGCAACUAUACGGACUGGGUCCGGAACCUGAGGAUCAUCCUCAUAGCUGCCAAGAAAGAUUAUGUCCUACAAGCACCGCUAGGUGACGCACCCGUCCCACAGAACCAAGACGUUAUGAAUGCUUGGCAGACACAUGCUGAUGAUUACUCCCUCGUUCAGUGCGGCAUGCUUUACAGCUUAGAACCGGGGCUCCAAAAGCGUUUUGAGAGACACGGAGCAUAUGAGAUGUUCGAAGAGCUGAAAAUGGUUUUUCAAGCUCAUUCCCGGGUCGAGAGAUAUGAGGUCUCCGACAAGUUCUUCAGCUGUAAGAUGGAGGAAAAUAGUUCUGUCAGUAAGCACAUACUCAAAAUGUCUGGGUUGCAUAACCGCUUGACUCAGCUGGGAGUUAAUCUCCCGGAUGACGUGGUCAUUGACAGAAUCCUUCGGUCGCUUCCACCGAUCUACAAGAGGUUUGUGAUGAAAUUCAAUAUGCAGGGGAUGGAAAAGACCAUUCCUGAAGUAUUUGCAAUGCUAAAAUCAGCAGAGGUAGAAGUCAAAAAGGAACAUCAAGUGUUGAUGGUGAAUAAAACCACUAAGUUCAAGAAAGGCAAGGGUAAGAAGAACUUCAAGAAGGACGGCAAGGGAGUUGCCGCGCCCGUUAAGCAAGCUGCCGGGAAGAAGCCAAAGAAUGGACCCAAGCCCGAGACUGAGUGUUUUUAUUGCAAGGGAAGUGGUCACUGGAAGCGGAACUGCCCCAAAUACUUAGCGGACAAGAAGGCCGGCAUCACGAAAGGUAUAUGUGAUAUACAUGUAAUUGAUGUGUACCUUACCAGUACUCAUAGUAGCUCCUGGGUAUUUGAUACCGGUGCGGUUGCUCACAUUUGUAACUCAAAGCAGGAGCUGCGGAAUAAGUGGAGACUGGCCAAGGACGAGGUGACGAUGCGCGUCGGGAAUGGUUCCAAGGUCGAUGUGAUCGCCAUCGGCACGCUACCUCUACAUUUACCUACGGGGUUAGUUUUAAACCUCAAUAAUUGUUAUUUAGUGCCAGCUUUGAGCAUGAACAUUGUAUCAGGAUCUCGUUUAAUUUGAGAUGGCUACUCAUUUAAAUCCGAGAAUAAUGGUUGUUCUAUUUAUAUGAGAGAUAUGUUUUAUGGUCAUGCUCCGAUGGUGAAUGGUUUAUUCUUAAUGAAUCUCGAGCGUAAUGCUACACAUAUUCAUAGUGUGAAUACCAAAAGAUGUAAGGUUGAUAAUGAUAGUCCCACAUACUUGUGGCACUGCCGCCUUGGUCACAUAGGUGUCAAACGCAUGAAGAAGCUCCAUGCAGAUGGACUUUUAGAGUCUCUUGAUUACGGAUCAUUUGACACGUGCGAACCGUGCCUCAUGGGUAAAAUGACCAAGACUCCGUUCUCAGGAACAAUGGAGCGAGCAACCAACUUAUUGGAAAUCAUACAUACUGAUGUGUGCGGUCUAAUGAGUGUUGAGGCUCGCGGUGGCUAUCGUUAUGUUCUCACCCUCACUGAUGACUUGAGUAGAUAUGGGUAUGUCUACUUAAUGAAACACAAGUCUGAGACCUUUGAAAAGUUCAAGGAAUUUGAGAGUGAGGUUGAGAAUCAACGUGACAGGAAAAUCAAGUUCUUGCGAUCAGAUCGUGGGGGAGAGUACUUGAGUCACGAAUUUGGCACACACUUAAGAAAAUGUGGAAUAGUUUCACAACUAACGCCGCCUGGAACACCUCAGCGUAAUGGUGUGUCCGAACGUCAUAAUCGCACUCUAUUAGAUAUGGUGCGAUCUAUGAUGUCUCUUACCGAUUUACCGCUAUCAUUUUGGGGCUAUGCUUUAGAGACUGCCGCAUUCACUUUAAAUAGGGCUUCGUCGAAAUCCGUUGAGACGACACCGUAUGAAUUAUGGUUUGGGAAGAAACCUAAGCUGUCGUUUCUAAAAGUUUGGGGAUGCAAUGCUUAUGUCAAGAAACUUCAACCUGAAAAGCUCGAACCCAAGUCGGAAAAAUGCAUAUUCAUAGGAUACCCUAAAGAAACUGUUGGGUAUACCUUCUACCUCAGAUCCGAAGGCAAGAUCUUUGUUGCCAAGAAUGGGUCCUUUCUAGAGAAAGAGUUUCUCUCGAAAGAAAUAAGUGGGAGGAAGGUAGAACUUGAUGAAGUAUUACCUCUUGAACCGGUAAGUGGCGCAGCUCAAGAAAAUGUUCCUGAGGUGCCUGCACCGACUAGGGAGGUAGUUGAUGAUGAUGAUCAUGAAACUUCAGAUCAAGUUGCUACUGAACUUCGUAGGUCCACAAGGACACGUUUCGCGCCAGAGUGGUACGGCAACCCUGUCUUGGAAAUCAUGUUGUUAGACAAUGGUGAACCUUUGAACUAUGAAGAAGCGAUGGCGGGCCCGGAUUCCGACAAAUGGCUGGAAGCCAUGAAAUCCGAGAUAGGAUCCAUGUAUGAAAACGAAGUAUGGACUUUGACUGACUUGCCCGUUGAUCGGCGAGCCAUAGAAAAUAAAUGGAUCUUUAAGAAGAAGACAGACGCGGAUGGUAAUGUGACCAUCUAUAAAGCUCGGCUUCUCGCUAAGGGUUAUCGACAAGUUCAAGGGGUUGACUACGAUGAGACUUUCUCACCCGUAGCGAAGCUGAAGUCCGUCCGAAUCAUGUUAGCAAUUACCGCAUUCUAUGAUUAUGAGAUAUGGCAAAUGGACGUCAAAACGGCAUUCCUUAAUGGUUUCCUUAAGGAAGAAUUGUAUAUGAUGCAGCCGGAAGGUUUUGUCGAUCCUAAGAAUGCUGACAAGGUGUGCAAGCUCCAACGCUCGAUUUAUGGGCUGGUGCAAGCAUCUCGGAAUUGGAACAUUCGCUUUGAUGAGAUGAUCAAAGCGUUUGGGUUUAUGCAGACUUAUGGAGAAGCCUGCAUUUACAAGAAAGUGAGUGGGAGCUCUGUAGCAUUUAUCAUAUUAUAUGUGGAUGACAUACUGUUGAUGGGAAAUGAUAUAGAAUUCUUGGAAAGCAUAAAGGCCUACUUGAACAAGUGUUUUUCGAUGAAGGACCUUGGAGAAGCUGCUUAUAUAUUAGGCAUCAAGAUCUGUAGAGAUAGAUCGAGACACCUCAUUGGUCUUUCACAGAGUACGUACCUUGACAAGAUAUUGAAGAAGUUCAAAAUGGAUCAGUCAAAGAAGGGGUUCUUGCCUGUAUUGCAAGGUACGAGAUUGAGCACGGCUCAAUGCCCGACCAUGGCAGAAGAUAAAGAAAAGAUGAGUGUCGUUCCCUAUGCCUCGGCCAUAGGGUCUAUCAUGUAUGCUAUGCUGUGUACCAGACCUGAUGUAAACCUUGCCGUGAGUUUGGUAGGAAGGUACCAAAGUAAUCCCGGCAUGGAACACUAGACAGCGGUCAAGAAUAUCCUGAAGUACCUGAAAAGGACUAAGGAAAUGUUUCUCGUUUAUGGAGGUGACGAAGAGCUCGUCGUAAAGGGUUACGUCGAUGCUAGCUUCGACACAGAUCUGGAUGACUCUAAGUCACAAACCGGAUACGUGUAUAUUUUGAAUGGUGGUUCAGUAAGCUGGUGCAGUUGCAAGCAAAGCAUUGUGGCGGGAUAUACAUGUGAAGCGGAGUACAUGGCAGCCUCGGAGGCAGCACAAGAAGCAGUCUGGGUGAAGGAGUUCAUUACCGACCUAGGAGUCAUACCCAAUGCGUCGGGCCCGAUGACUCUCUUCUGUGACAACACUGGAGCUAUUGCCCUUGCCAAGGAGCCCAGGUUUCACAGGAAGACCAGGCAUAUCAAGCGUCGUUUCAACUCCAUUCAUGAAAGUGUUCAAAGUGGAGACAUAGAGAUUUGUAAAGUACAUAUGGACCUGAAUGUAGCAGAUCCGUUGACUAAACCUCUCCCUAGAGCAAAACAUGAUCAACACCAGAACUGCAUGGGUGUUCGAUUCAUCACAAUGUAACUAGAAUAUUGACUCUAGUGCAAGUGGGAGACUGUUGGAAAUAUGCCCUAGAGGCAAUAAUAAAAUGGUUAUUAUUAUAUUUCUUUGUUCAUGAUAAUUGUCUAUUGUUCAUGCUAUAAUUGUGUUAUCCGGAAAUCGUAAUACAUGUGUGAAUACAUAGACCACAACACGUCCCUAGUGAGCCUCUAGUUGACUAGCUCGUUGAUCAAAAGAUAGUCAUGGUUUCCUGACUAUGGACAUUGGAUGUCAUUGAUAACGGGAUCACAUCAUUAGGAGAAUGAUGUGAUGGACAAGACCCAAUCCUAAGCUUAGCUCAAAGAUCGUGUAGUUCGUUUGCUGUAGCUUUUCUGAAUGUCAAGUAUCAUUUCCUUAGACCAUGAGAUUGUGCAACUCCUGGAUAUCGUAGGAGUGCCUUGGGUGUGCCAAACAUCACAACGUAACUAGGUGACAAUAAAGGUACAUUACAGGUAUCUCCGAAAGUGUCUGUUGGGUUGGCACGAAUCGAGACUGGGAUUUGUCACUCCGUAUGAUGGAGAGGUAUCUCUGGGCCCACUCGGUAAUGCAUCAUCAUGAUGAGCUCAAUGUGAUCAAGUGGUUGAUCACGGGAUCAUGCAUUACAGUACGAGUAAAGUGACUUGCCGGUAACGAGACUGAACAAGGUAUUGGGAUACCGACGAUCGAGUCUUGGGAAAGUAACGUACCGAUUGACAAAGGGAACUGUAUAUGGAUUGAUUGAAUCCUCAACAUUGUGGUUCAUCCGAUGAGAUCAUCGUGGAGCAUGUGGGAGCCAACAUGGGUAUCCAUAUCCCGCUGUUGGUUAUUGACCGGAGAGGCUUCUCGGUCAUGUCUGCAUGUCUCCCGAACCCGUAGGGUCAACACACUUAAGGUUCGGUGACGCUAGGGUUGUUAGGAAGACUUGUAUGUGAUUAACGAAUGUUGUCCGGAGUCCCAGAUGUGAUCUCGGACGUCACGAGGAGUUCCGGAAUGGUCCGUAGGUAAAGAUUUAUAUAUGGGGAGUUGUCAUACGGUCGCCAGAAAGGUUCGGGGGCAUAUCGGUAUUGUACCGGGGCCACCGGAGGGGUUCCGGGGGUUCACCGGGAGGGUCCACCUCUUCCGGAGGGCCUUAUGGGCUGUAUGGAGAAGGGAACCAGCCCAAGUGGGCUGGGGCGCCACACUCCCCUAGGGCCCAUGCGCCUAGGGUUGGGGGAAACCCUAAGGGGGGGCGCCCCCUUGCUUGGGGGGUAAGCCCCCCUCCCCUUGGCCGCCGCCCCCCCUCUAGAUCUCAUCUAGAGGGGGCCGUCCCCCUUCCCCCUUCCCCUAUAAAUAGAGGGGUGAGGGGAGGGCUGCACACAACAUCCAAGGCGCAACCCCUCCCCUCCCCAACACCUCUCCUCCUCCAUAAGAGCUUGGCGAAGCCCUGCCAGAGUACUGCAGCUUCAUCACCACCACGCCGUCGUGCUGCUGUUGGAGACCUCUUCCUUAACCUCUCCCUCCUCCUUGCUGGAUCAAGGCGCGGGAGACGUCCUCGCUCCGUACGUGUGUUGAACGCGGAGGUGCCGUCCAUUCGGCGCUAGGAUCUUCGGUGAUUUGAAUCACGUCGAGUACGACUCCAUCAUCCCGUUCUCUUGAACGCUUCCGCUCGUGAUCUACAAGGAUAUGUAGAUGCACUCCUCUCUCCCUCGUUGCUAGAUGACUACAUAGAUUGAUCUUGGUGAUGCAUAGAAAAUUUUAAAAUUCUGCUACGUUACCCAACAGUGGCCUGACGCUUUGUCGGACUUGGAGGAGGAGGAGUGGCCUGAAGUUGUGCCGGACUUGGACGAGGAGUGGCCUGACGCGUUGGUGGACUUGGAUGAGCGGGAGUCUGCUGACUCGUUGGCGGACUUCGACGAGGAGUCGGAUGACGUGGUGUCCGUGGCCUUCGAAAGAUGAUGCAAUCCUUUCUCCAUAGGAUGAUACGAUGGUUGGCCUCUCCCAGUGUGUGCUCCUCAUCACCUCCAGGAAUGUCAAGCUCUAGCCUCGAAUAUUGGUCCACCACCUCAUCAACCAAGACACGAGCAUAGCCCGCUGGAAUCGGGUUGCAAUGGAAGGUUGCCUCGGGGGGAUUUGUAAAAGCAAGGGCGUCCGCCACCUUCAUGGAUAUGUUCUUCAUUUUGAAGUGUAGCUCGCAGUUAGUGUUCUCCAUGAUGUCAUCCACUGGGUAGCUAUCCAGCAAUGCAUCGCCCGGGGCGGAACCCACGCUGCUUCUCGGCAUGGAUGGGACGGUGCUAUCCAAUGCUGGAUCAUCCACUAGCUGCUGCAGCUGCUGAGAUCCCCUUUGUUGGCUAAGUGAGUCGAUCUGCUCCUGCUGCCGCUGGAAUUUGACUGCCAAGUCCGCGUGCGCUGAUUCUAGGCCUUGAAGGCGUUCAUAGUCCAGCUUCCUCUGCUCCUCCUCCAUCUUCCUCUUCUUAUCCUCCACAAUCUUCUUUCUCGCACAGGUUCUGUAGUCGGCGUUCCAGUCCGAAAACCCCUCAUACCACGGAAUAGCGCCCUUGCCUCGUGUUCUUCCCAGGUGUUCAGGAUUUCCCAGGGCACGCGUAAGCUUGUCGUUCUCUCUGUUGGGCUGGAACACCCCCGAUCGAGCCUCUUCUAUUGCAACAAGUAGCUUAUCUUCGGCUCCGUCCAGACAUGCCUUCUUCGAAACUUUGCCUGUCUUCGGCUCCAACUCCCCCCCAUGCGCAUAGAACCAAGUCCUGCACCUGGGGGGGGGGGCAGCUCAAUGUUUCUGGAGUGACACCUGCAUCCUCCAUCUCUUUCUCAUACUUAUCCCACUUAGGCAUUCCCACGGCAUAGCCACCUGGCCCAAGCUUAUGGAACUUAUCCUUUUUUGCGGCAUUGGCCUUGUUUAUUCUCGACCGUUCCUUAGAUAAUUCCGAAUCCUUGAAUUUCACGAAAUCGUCCCAAUGAGCACUUUGCUUCUCUAGUGUUCCCUCGAAUACUGGAGUCUUCCUUCCUCCCUUGACGUACUUGUCCCAUUCACGAUUCUUGUGGUUGUUGAAUGCAACCGCCAUCUUCCUAAGAGCAGCGUCCUUGACUUUCUCCACAUCUGCAUCUGUGAAAUGAUCUGGUAGGGUGAAAUGUUCCAUGAGCGUUUCUCAAAGGAGAAGUUUUUGUCUCUCGUCGACAAAAGUAACUCCUGGACGUGGCUUUGCUGGCUCUCUCCAUUCUUGAAGGGAGAUCGGGAGUUGGUCCUUCACAAGAACUCCGCACUAACGAAUGAACUUGUCCGCAAUCUUCUUAGGCGCUAAUUGUUUGCCAUUAGGUUUGAUGGCCUCGAUAUUGUACUUUACGCCCUCCUUCAACUUUUUGUUCGGUCCUCGUUUCCUGUUGCCUGAAGAUUUGCUCGAUCCGGAUGGCUGAAAGAAGAAAGAUCGAUUCAUUAAUAUAUCUUCAAGUCAUUUAAAACAUGUGAUGAUCACCAGAUGCCUGCUUAUAUAAAUAUAUAUACCUCGCCGGUCUUUGUUGUUUCAAGAUCAACAUUUUCUUCGUCAUCUUCAUAGUUCAUGACUUCAUCAAUUCGGUUGUCGCGAUCGAAUAUCAUAUCACCCUCCCCGGUGUUGUUUAGAUAUUCGGAGCCGUCAUAAUCUUCUUCAUUCUGAUCAUCAUCUGGCCCGCGAGGAUUGCGUAUGAUAUUGAACACGGCCUCUUCUCCCUCUCUGCCAGUAUUGUCCGCCAUAGGUGAUACGUCUCCAACGUAUCUAUAAUUUUUGAUUGCUCCAUGCUAUAUUAUCUACUGUUUUGGACUAUAUUGGGCUUUAUUUUCCACUUUUAUAUUAUUUUUGGGACUAACCUAUUAACCGGAGGCCCAGCCCAGAAUUGCUGUUUUUUGCCUAUUUCAGUGUUUCGGAUAAACAGAAUAUCAAACGGAGUCCAAACGGAAUAAAAUCUUCGGGAACGUGAUUUUCUCACCGAACGUGAUCCAGGAGACUUGGACCCUACUGCAAGGGAUCAAAGAGGAGGUCACGAGGGUGGGGGCGCCCCCCUAAGGCGCGCCCCCCUGCCUCGUGGGCCCCCUCGGUGCUCCACCGACGUACUCCUUCCUCCUAUAUAUACAGACGUACCCCCAAACGAUCAGAACAGGAGCCAAAAACCUAAUUCCACCGCCGCAACUUCCUCUAUCCACGAGAUCCCAUCUUGGGGCCUGUUCCGGAGCUCCGCCGGAAGAGGGCCGUCAUCACGGAGGGCUUCUACAUCAUCCUAGCCCCUCCAAUGAAGUGUGAGUAGUUUACCUCAGACCUUCGGGUCCAUAGUUAGUAGCUAGAUGGCUUCUUCUCUCUCUUUGAAUCUCAAUACAAAGUUCUCCCCCUCUCUUGUGGAGAUCUAUUCGAUGUAAUCUUCUUUUUGCGGUGUGUUUGUUGAGACCGAUGAAUUGUGGGUUUAUGAUCAAGUCUAUCUAUGAAUAAUAUUUGAAUCUUCUCUGAAUUCUUUUAUGUACGAUUGGUUAUCUUUGCAAGUCUCUUCGAAUUAUCCGUUUGGUUUGGCCAACUAGAUUGGUAGUUCUUGCCAUGGGAGAAGUGCUUAGCUUUGGGUUCGAUCUUGUGGUGUCCUUACCCAGUGACAGAAGGGGCAGCAAGGCACGUAUUGCAUCAUUCCCAUCGAGGAUAACAAGAUGGGGUUUAUUUCAUAUUUCAUGAAUUGAUCUCUCUACAUCAUGUCAUCUUGCUUAAAGUGUUACUCUGUUUUUAACUUAAUACUCUAGAUGCAUGCUGGAUAGCGGUCGAUGAGUGGAGUAAUAGUAGUAGAUGCAGAAUCGUUUCGAUCUACUUGUCAUGGACGUGAUGCCUAUAUACAAGAUCAUGCCUAGAUAUUCUCAUAACUAUGCUCCAUUCUGUCAAUUGCUCAACACUAAUUUGUUCACCCACCGUAGAAUACUUAUGCUCUUGAGAGAAGCCACUAGUGAAACCUAUGGCCCCCGAGUCUAUUCUCAUCAUAUCAAUCUCCAUUACUUUAAUCUUGCUUUGCUUUUUUACUUUGCCUUUACUUUUUACUUUGCAUCAUUAUACCAAAAAUACCAAAAAUAUUAUAUCUAUCAGAUCUCACUCUCGUAAGUGACCGUGAAGGGUUUGACAACCCCUAAUCGCGUUGGUUGCGAGUAGCUAUCGCUUUGUGCAGGUACGAGGGACUUGAGCGUGGGCUCCUACUAGAUUGAUACCUUGGUUCUCAAAAACUGAGGGAAAUACUUACGCUACUCUGCUGCAUCAUCCCUUCCUCUUCGGGGAAAACCAACGCAAGCUCAAGACGUGGCAAGAAGGAUUUCUGGCGCCGUUGCCGGGGAGUCUACGCAAAAAGUCAAUAUACCAAGUACCCAUCACAAUCCCUAUCUCUCGCAUUACAUUAUUUGCCAUUUGCCUCUCGUUUUCCUCUCCCCCCAAUUCACCCUUGCCGUUUUAUUCGCCCUCUCUCUCUCUCUCUUUAUCCUCCCUCUCUAUUUGCCUCUUUUUGCCCGUUUGCUUUUUGUUUGCCCGUGUGUUAGAUUGCUUGUUUGUCGCGAUGGCUCAAGAUACUACUAAAUUGUGUGACUUCACCAAUACCAAUAAUAAUGAUUUCCUUAGCACUCCGAUUGCUCCUCUUACCUAUGCUGAAUCUUGUGAAAUUAAUACUGCUUUGUUGAAUCUUGUCAUGAAAGAUCAAUUCGCUGGCCUUCCUAGCGAAGAUGCCGCUACUCAUCUGAAUAGCUUCGUUGAUUUAUGUGAUAUGCAAAAGAAAAAAGAUGUCAAUAAUGAUGUCGUUAAAUUGAAGCUAUUUCCUUUUUCUCUUAGGGAUCGUGCUAAAUCUUGGUUUUCGUCUUUGCCUAAGAAUAGUGUAGAUUCAUGGAACAAGUGCAAAGAUGCUUUUAUCUCUAAGUAUUUUCCUCCCGCUAAGAUCAUCUCUCUUAGAAACGAUAUAAUGAACUUUAAACAACUUGAUCAUGAACAUGUUGCACAAGCUUGGGAGAGAAUGAAUUUAAUGAUACGUAAUUGCCCUACUCAUGGUUUGACUUUGUGGAUGAGGAUACAAAAUUUUUAUGCCGGAUUGAAUUUUGCUUCUAGAAAUCUUUUAGAUUCGGCCGCGGGAGGCACUUUUAUGGAAAUCACUUUAGGAGAUGCUACUAAACUCCUAGAUAAUAUUAUGAUUAAUUAUUCUUAAUGGCAUACUGAAAGAACUUCUAAUAAAAAAGUGCAUGCGAUAGAAGAAAUUAAUGUGUUGAGUGGAAAGAUGGAUGAACUUAUGAAAUUAUUUGCUACUAAGAGUGUUUCUUCUGAUCCUAAUGAUAUGCCUUUGUCUACUUUGAUUGAGAAUAACAAUGAAUCUAUGGAUGUGAAUUUUGUUGGUAGGAAUAAUUUUGGUAACAACGCUUAUAGAGGGAAUUUUAAUCCUAGGCCAUAUCCUAGUAAUCCUUCUAAUAAUUAUGGGAAUUCCUACAACAACUCUUAUGGAAAUUAUAAUAAGAUGCCCUAUGAUUUGAAUCUAAUAUUAAUGAAUUUAUUUCUUUGCAAAAGAAUUUUAAUUCUAUGAUUGAAGAAAAAUUGCUUAAGAUUGAUGAUUUGUCUAGGAACGUUGAUAGAAUUGCUCUUGAUGUUGAUGCUUUGAAACUUAGAUCUAUUCCACCUAAGCAUGAUAUUAAUGAGUCUCUAAAAUCCAUGAGAACUUCAAUUGAUGAGUGUAAAUAAAGAACCGCUAGGAUGCGUGCUUCCAAAGAUGCCUUUAUUAAAGCGUGUUCUUCCAAUUCCUAUGAAAAUCAAGAUGAAGAUCUAAAAGUUAUUCAUGUGUCCCCAAUUAAAUCUUCAUUUUGCAAUAUUAAUCUUGAUGAAACUGAAUAUGAUCUUCCUUUACCUAGAAGGCGUUCUAAAAAUUCGGAGUGUUUAGAUCUUAAUGAUGAAAUUGAUGAAAGUGGGACUGAAAGAAAUAAAAAUCUAGAUGUUGCUAAACCCACUAUAUUGGAUUUCAAGGAAUUUAAUUAUGAAAGUUGCUCUUUGAUUGAUUGUAUUUCCUUGUUGCAAUCCGUGCUAAAUUCUCCACAUGCUUAUAGUUGAAAUAAAGCCUUCACCGAACAUAUUGUUGAUGCCUUGAUGCAAUCUUAUGAAGAAAAACUUGAGUUGAAAGUUUCUAUACCUAGAAAACUCUAUGAUGAGUGGGAACCAACUAAUAAAAUUAAAAUUAAAGAUCAUGAGUUUGAUGCUUUGUGUGAUUUGGGUGCUAGUGUCUCUACUAUUCCCAAGACUUUGUGUGAUUUAGUAGAUUUUCGUAAUUUUCAUGAUUUCUCUCUAAACUUGCAUCUUGCGGAUUCCACUAUUAAGAAACCUAUGGGAAGAAUUAAUGAUGUUAUUAUUGUUGCAAAUAGGAAUUAUGUGCCCGUAGAUUUCAUUGUUCUUGAUAUAGAUUGCAAUCCUUCUUGCCCUAUUAUUCUUGGUAGACCUUUCCUUAGAACGGUUGGUGCGAUUAUUGAUAUGAAGGAAGGGAAUAUUAGAUUUCAAUUUCCAUUAAAAAAGGGCAUGGAACACUUUCCAAGAAAGAAAAUAAAAUUACCAUAUGAAACUAUCAUGAGAGCCACUUAUGGAUUGCCUACCAAAGAUGGCAAUACCUAGAUCUAUCCUUGCUUGUUAUGCCUAGCUAGGGGCAUUAAACGAUAGCGCUUGUUGGGAGGCAACCCAAUUUUAUUUUUAUUCCUUGCUUUUUGCUCCUGUUUAGUAAUAAAUAAAUUGUUUAGCCUCUGUUUUGGUUGUGUUUUUUGUGUUUAAUUAGUGUUUUUGCCAAGUAGAACCGUUGGGAAGACUUGGGGAAAGUCUUGUUGAACUUGCUGUAAAAAACAGAAACUUUAGCGCUCACGAGAACUGCUGUCAUUUUUAUUUGAAGAGUUAUAUUUAGUUAAUUAUUUUUGCAGAUGAUUAAUAGAUAAAUUCCUCACGUCCAGCAGUUUAUUUUAGAAUUUUUGGGGUUCCAUAUUUUGUGCUAGCUACAGAUUACUACAGACUGUUCUGUUUUUGACAGAUUCUGUUUUUCGUGUGUUGUUUGCUUAUUUUGAUGAAUCUAUGGCUAGUAAACUAGUUUAUAAUCCAUAGAGAAGUUGUAAUACAGUAGGUUUAACACCAAUAUAAAUAAAUAAUGAGCUCAUUACAGUACCUUGAAGUGGUCUUUUGUUUUCUUUCGCUAACGGAGCUCGCGAGUUUUCUAUUUUGAGUUUUGUGUUGUGAAGUUUUCAAGUUUUGGGUGAAUUCUUUUGAUGGAUCAUGGAACAAGGAGUGGAAAGAGCCUAAGCUUGGGGAUGCCCAUGGCACCCCCAAGAUAAUCCAAGGAUACCAAAAAGUCAAAGCUUGGGGAUGCCCUGGAAGGCAUCCCCUCUUUUCGUCCACUUCCAUCGGUAAUUUACUUGGAGCUAUAUUUUUAUUCACCAACAUGAUAUGUGUUUUGCUUGGAGUGUCUUGUAUUAUUUGUGUCUUUGUUUUUUAGUAUGCCACAAUCAUCCUUGCUGUACACACCUUUUGAGAGAGCCAUACAUGAAUUAAAAUUUGAUAGAAUACUCUAUGUGCUUCACUUAUAUCUUUUGAGCGUUAUAGUUUUGCUCUAUGUGCUUCACUUAUAUCUUUUGAACUAGGUAAUUUUUCUCUAUGUGCUUCACUUAUAUCCUUUGAGCUAGAUAAUUUUGCUCUAUGUGCUUCACUUAUAUCCUUUGAGCUAGAUAAUUUUGCUCUAUGUGCUUCACUUAAAUCUUUUAGAGCACGGUGGUGGAUUCGUUUUAAAGAAACUAUUGAUCUCUCAUGCUUCAAUUAAAUUAAUUUGAGAGUGUCUUAAUAGCAUGGUAAUUUGGCUAAUAAUGAUAUGCUUGGUAUUCAAGAUUUGUGAAACUUUCUUUUGAGUGUGUUGAAUACUAAGAAAAGAUUGAAGCAUGAUAAUUGUUUUGAGAUAUGGAGGUGAUAAUAUUAAAGUCAUGCUAGUUGAGUAGUUGUAAAUUUAAAGAAUACUUGUGUUGAAGUUUGUGAUUCCCGUAGCAUGCACGUAUGGUGAACCGUUAUGUGAUGAAGUCGGAGCAUGAUUUAUUUAUUGAUUGUCUUCCUUAUGAGUGGCGGUCGGGGACGAGCGAUGGUCUUUUCCUACCAAUCUAUCCCCCUAGAAGCAUGCGCGUAAUACUUUGCUUUGACAACUUCUAGAUUUUUGCAAUAAGUAUAUGAGUUCUUUAUGACUAAUGUUGAGUCCAUGGAUUAUACACACUCUCACCCUUCCACCCUUGCUAGCCUCUCUAAUACCGCGCAACUUUCCCCGGUAUCAUACACCUGCCAUAUACCUUCCUCAAAACAGCCACCAUACCUACCUAUUAUGGCAUUUCCAUAGCCAUUCCGAGAUAUAUUGCCAUGCAACUUUCCACCAUCUAGUUCAUCAUGACACAUCCAUCAUUGUCAUAUUGCUUAGCAUGAUCAUGUAGUUGACAUAGUAUUUGUGGCAAAGCCACCGUUCAUAAUUCUUUCAUACUUGUCACUCUUGAUUCAUUGCAUAUCCCGGUACACCGCCGGAGGCAUUCAUAUAGAGUCAUACUUUGUUUUAGUAUCGAGUUGUAAUCAUUGAGUUGUAAAUAAAUAGAAGUGUGAUGAUCAUCAUUCAAUAGAGCAUUGUCCCAAAAAAAGAAAAAUUCCAAAGAGAAAAAAAGGCCCAAAAAAUAAAAAAAGGGGCAAUGCUACUAUCUUUUUUUCCACAUUUGUGCUUCAAAGUAGCACCAUGAUAUAGCGAGUCUCAUAUAUUGUGCUUCAAAGUAGCACCAUGUUCUUCAUAUAGAGAGUCUCAUAUGUUGUCACUCUCAUAUACUAGUGGGAUUUUUACAUUAUAGAACUUGGCUUGUAUAUUCCAAUGAUGGGCUUCCUCAAAUUGCCCUAGGACUUCGUGAGCAAGCAAGUUGGAUGCACACCCACUAGUUUCUUUUGUUGAGCUUUCAUACAUUUAUACCUCUAGUGCAUCCGUUGCAUGGCAAUCCCUACUCACUCACAUUGAUAUCUAUUGAUGGGCAUCUCCAUAGCCCAUUGAUAUGCCUAGUUGAUGUGAGACUAUCUUCUCCUUUUUGUCUUCUCCACAACCACCAUUCUAUUCCACCUAUAGUGCUAUAUCCAUGGCUCACGCUCAUGUAUUGCGUGAAGAUUGAAAAAGUUUUGAAAAAGUUAGAGUAUGAAACAAUUGCUUGGCUUGUCAUCGGGGUUGUGCAUGAUUUAAAUACUUUGUGUGGGGAAGAUGGAGCAUAACCAGACUAUAUGAUUUUGUAGGGAUAACUUUCUUUAGCCAUGUUAUUUUGAGAAGACAUAAUUGCUUUGUUAGUAUGCUUGAAGUAUUAUUAUUUUCUAUGUCAAUAUAAACUUUUGUCUUGAAUCUUUCUAAUCUGAAUAUUCAUACCACAAUUAAGAAGAUUUGCAUUGAAAUUAUGCCAAGUAGCACUCCGCAUCAAAAAUUCUCUUUUUAUCAUUUACCUACUCGAGGACGAGCAGGAAUUAAGCUUGGGGAUGUCUGAUACGUCUCCAACGUAUCUAUAAUUUUUGAUUGCUCCAUGCUAUAUUAUCUACUGUUUUGGACUAUAUUGGGCUUUAUUUUCCACUUUUAUAUUAUUUUUGGGACUAACCUAUUAACCGGAGGCCCAGCCCAGAAUUGUUGUUUUUUGCCUAUUUCAGUGUUUCGGAUAAACGGAAUAUCAAACGGAGUCCAAACGGAAUAAAAUCUUCGGAAACGUGAUUUUCUCACCGAACGUGAUCCAGGAGACUUGGACCCUACUGCAAGGGAUCAAAGAGGAGGUCACGAGGGUAGGGGGCGCCCCCCCCUAGGGCGCGCCCCUGCCUUGUGGGCCCCUCGGUGCUCCACCGACGUACUCCUUCCGUCUAUAUAUACACACGUACCCCCAAACGAUCAGAACAGGAGCCAAAAACCUAAUUCCACCGCCGCAACUUUCUGUAUCCACGAGAUCCCAUCUUGGGGCCUAUUCCGGAGCUCCGCCGGAAGAGGGCCGUCAUCACGGAGGGCUUCUACAUCAUCCUAGCCCCUCCGAUGAAGUGUGAGUAGUUUACCUCAGACCUUUGGGUCCAUAGUUAGUAGCUAGAUGGCUUCUUCUCUCUCUUUGAAUCUCAAUACAAUGUUCUCCCCCUCUCUUAUGGAGAUCUAUUCAAUGUAAUCUUCUUUUUGCGGUGUGUUUGUUGAGACCGAUGAAUUGUGGGUUUAUGAUCAAGUCUAUCUAUGAAUAAUAUUUGAAUCUUCUCUGAAUUCUUUUAUGAAUGAUUGGUUAUCUUUGCAAGUCUCUUUGAAUUAUCCGUUUGGUUUGGCCAACUAGAUUGGUAGUUCUUGCCAUGGGAGAAGUGCUUAGCUUUGGGUUCGAUCUUGCGGUGUCCUUACCCAGUGACAGAAGGGGCAGCAAGGCACGUAUUGCAUCGUUGCCAUCGAGGAUAACAAGAUGGGGUUUAUUUCAUAUUGCAUGAAUUUAUCUCUCUACAUCAUGUCAUCUGAUUAAAGUGUUACUCUAUUUUUAACUUAAUACUCUAGAUGCAUGCUGGAUAGCGGUCGAUGAGUGGAGUAAUAGUAGUAGAUGCAGAAUCGUUUCGAUCUACUUGUCACGGACGUGAUGCCUAUGUACAUGAUCAUGCCUAGAUAUUCUCAUAACUAUGCUCAAUUCUGUCAAUUGCUCAACACUAAUUUGUUCACCCACCGUAGAAUACUUAUGCUCUUGAGAGAAGCCACUAGUGAAACCUAUAGCCCCCAGGUCUAUUCUCAUCAUAUCAAUCUCCAUUACUUUAAUAUUGCUUUGCUUUUUUACUUUGCCUUUACUUUUUACUUUGCAUUUUUAUACCAAAAAUACCAAAAAUAUUAUAUCUAUCAGAUCUCACUCUCGUAAGUGAUCGUGAAGGGCUUGACAACCCCUAAUCGCGUUGGUUGCGAGUAGCUAUCGCUUUGUGCAGGUACGAGGAACUUGAGCGUGGGCUCCUACUGGAUUGAUACCUUGGUUCUCAAAAGCUGAGGGAAAUACUUACGCUACUCUGCUGCAUCAUCACUUCCUCUUCGGGGAAAAUCAACAAGCUCAAGAUGUAGCAAUAGGUUUUAUUUAACUAAUCCAAAAGAAAUAUAUUCAAAUUACAAUGCAUGGAUGCAAUCAAUUAAUAAGGAAAAACUAAAUCAAUCAUAGUACAUAAUAAGCAUCAUCGAAUAUAAUCUCGAAUACGUCGUCUCAAAUAAUAGAUAUAAUCUCGAAUACAUCGUCUCGAAUAAUAUAUAUAAUCUCGAAUAAAUCAUCUCGAAUAUUAUAUAUCGAAUACAUCACUAGCUAGCUAGCUAGCUAAUAAAAAUCGAAUACUAGAGAGUAAUCUAGGCGGUGGACAACCAAAGUGAAGGAACCAUCACUGGAUCAUAGCUCGGGUGAUCUUCCCAAAGAACCUGCCAGGUAUUGGAGAACCUGACGUCCAUAGCAGCCAUGUAGCGAUGGACGUGCUCGUCCUCCUCCCUGACACGGCGACGUACCACCUCUGGCGGGGCCGGCUCCCUCCGCACCAAAAGUGGCCCACGCGAACGCCAUCAAAGGAGAUGAGGGUCGACGACGGGACCCAGGGCCAGGUUCCUCACCAAGCGUCACGCCCCUGAAGGUUGCACCUCCCAGUGCCAGCCCGGCGGAGCCCAGUCCCGGACAUGGGUCCUCUGAAGCAGGACGUCGUUGCGAACGGGUCGACGGCGAGGAUGCGGGCCGGGCAUCGUCGACAACAAAUACUAUAUGCCGCAAAAGUAAAGUAACAUUUUUAAAUGAUGGAUUGUGAUUUAAUAUAUGCAAAUUCUAAAUUUUAUAACUAAAACUAACAUUUCUAAUAUUUCUAUAACUAAAACAAACAUUUCUAAUAUUUCUAUAACUAAAAAACAUUUCUAUAUAACUAACAUUUCUAAUAUAACUAACAUUUCUAAUAUAACUAACAUUUCUAUAUAACUAACAUUUCUAAUAUUUCUAUAUAACUAACAUUUCUAAUAUUUCUAUAACUAAAAAACAUUUCUAUAUAACUAACAUUUCAAAUAAUUCUAUAACUAAAAAUAGAAAGAUUGCUAACAUUUCUAUAACAAUGUGUGUGUGUGUGUGUGGUNNNNNNNNNNNNNNNNNNNNNNNNNNNNNNNNNNNNNNNNNNNNNNNNNNNNNNNNNNNNNNNNNNNNNNNNNNNNNNNNNNNNNNNNNNNNNNNNNNNNNNNNNNNNNNNNNNNNNNNNNNNNNNNNNNNNNNNNNNNNNNNNNNNNNNNNNNNNNNNNNNNNNNNNNNNNNNNNNNNNNNNNNNNNNNNNNNNNNNNNNNNNNNNNNNNNNNNNNNNNNNNNNNNNNNNNNNNNNNNNNNNNNNNNNNNNNNNNNNNNNNNNNNNNNNNNNNNNNNNNNNNNNNNNNNNNNNNNNNNNNNNNNNNNNNNNNNNNNNNNNNNNNNNNNNNNNNNNNNNNNNNNNNNNNNNNNNNNNNNNNNNNNNNNNNNNNNNNNNNNNNNNNNNNNNNNNNNNNNNNNNNNNNNNNNNNNNNNNNNNNNNNNNNNNNNNNNNNNNNNNNNNNNNNNNNNNNNNNNNNNNNNNNNNNNNNNNNNNNNNNNNNNNNNNNNNNNNNNNNNNNNNNNNNNNNNNNNNNNNNNNNNNNNNNNNNNNCUGUUUUGGCCAGGCCAAGCGGCGGGAACGGCACCCCUUUAGUACCGGGUGGUGGCUCCAACCGGUACUAAAGGCCCCCCUUUAGUACCGGUUGGAGCCACCACCCGGUACUAAAGGGGGUGCGCUGGCGCAGGUGCGGUGCGUCAUGUUUAGUCCCACCUCGCUAGCCGAGGGGCGUCCGCACUGGUUUAUAAGCCCGAGUGCGGUAGCUCCCUCGAGCUCCUCUCCAAAGCAGACCUACUAGGCCUAAAUGUUCUGUGCUACCCUGUGGUCUUACUGGGCCUUUGCGGGCCUGCAUCCUGGCCCAACAACAGGUUGGGUUUCUAGUCAUAUGCAGGCCGCUGUGGCGCAGUAGGUGGGCUUUUUUUCCUUAUUUUUUGCUUUAUUUAUUUUUGUUUUAUUUAUUUUUGAGUUGUUUUUGCUGUAUUUAGUGUUUCUUUGUGAAUAUUUUUGCUUUAGGUACAAAAAAUUACAAACUUUCUGUUAGUACCGGUAGUUUACAAAUUUGAAUACUUUAAAUUUUGAAUUAUUUGAAAUUUGUGUGAAUCACUAGUUUGUGAAUAACUUAACUUUGAAAAUAGAUUUUCCAGUGAUUCUUUUUUCUUAUGUUUAAUAUUAGUGUGUUUUAUCAUUAUAUUCAAUUUGGUAAUGCUUAGGUUAUUUAAAAAAUGAAAUGCCUUUGUAACGAAUGAGUUUUCGUCCGAAACCCUGAUACUUCGAAAGAGAUUGUCCAUUUUGUACACGAAGUGCAUCCAGUUUUUGCGGUAACCCUCUCUACUUUUUUGCACAUGCUAUGUGGGUGAAGUUAUGGUACCAUGCCAACUUUCAACCAUUUUUGAGUUCAUUUGAAAUGCUUUUCAAUUUUAGGGUCAUUAGCUGAAAAAAUCAGUAAAUGCAUGAAAGAAUUUGCUUGCACAUAAAAUUUCUUCGCGUUUCAAAUGCCAAAACACAUAACUAGCUACCCUAACUAUUACAGAGAUUCCCUCCUGGGUGUGAAACACAGAAGAAAGUGAUGAUAGUGAAGCCGAUCACAUCCCAGAUCUUUGGGUGUGAAACUUUUUCUUCGCGUGUGUCCCUUUGCGCCAUAGCCAUGGAAAAUCUUCAUCAUUUAACUGGACGCUCGGGUCAAUAUUCACUGUGAAUGGAGCAAUUUCAUCAAACUUUUCAUAAUCUGCUGACAUGUCUGUCUUGUCAUCCACUCCCAUGAUGUUUCUCUUCCCAGAAAGAAUUAUGUGCCGCUUUGGCUCAUCCUACGAUGCAUUCGUUUCCUUAUCUUUUCUUUUUCUCGGCUUGGUAGACAUGUCUUUCACAUAGAAAACCUGUGCCACAUCAUUGGCUAGGACGAAUGGUUCGUCUGCAUACGCAAGAUUGUUAAGAUCCACUGUUGUCAUUCCGUACUGCGGGUCUUCCGUUACCCCGUCUCGUGUCAUAUUGACCCAUUUGCACCGAAACAAAGGGACCUUCAAACCACGUCGAUAGUCAAGUUCCCAUAUGUCCUGUAUAUAACCAUAAUAUGUUUCCUUUACCGUCUUGGUUUCUGCAUCAAAGCGGACACCACUGUUUUGGUUGAUGCUCUUCUUAUCUUGGCAAUCAUGUAAAAUGUAUUACCAUUUAUCUCGUACCCUUUGAAAGUCAUUAUAUUCGAAGAUGGUAACUGGGACAGCAAGUACAAGUCAUCUUCAAUAGAGGCGUCAUGCAUGGUACAUGUCUGCAACUAGCUGGCGAAACUCCUGGUUUGUUCACGUGUAAUCCAGUGAUCAGACCACUCCGGGUGUUUGGAGCGUAGCAAAUUCUUGUGUUCAUCCAUAUAAGGAGCCACCAAGGUGGAAUUCUGUAGAACUGUGUAGUGUGCUUCAGUGAGAGAAUGUCCGUCCAUACAUAUUGUUUGUUCCCCUCCUAGCAUGCCUUUUCCAUCCAGUCUGCCCUUAUGCCGCGAUUCAGGAACACCAAUCGGCUUAAGGUCAGGAAUAAAGUUAAUACAAAACUCAAAGACCUCCUCAUUUUCAUGGUCCUUGGAGAUGCUUCCUUCUGGCCUAGCACGGUUAUGAACAUAUUUCUUUAAGACUCUCAUGAACCUCUCAAAGGGGAACAUAUUGUGUAGAAAUACAGUACCCAAAACAUUAAUCUCUUCGCAUAGGUGAACUAGGACGUGCGUCAUGAUGUUGAAGAAGGAUGGUGGGAACACCAACUCGAAACUGACAAGACAUUGCACCAAAUCAUUCUCUAACUUUGGUAUGAUUUCUGGAUCGAUUACCUUCUGAGAUUGCAUUGAGGAAUGCACAUAGCUUCACAAUGGCUAAUCGAACGUUUUCCGGUAGAAGCCCCCUCAAUGCAACCUGAAGCAGUUGCGUCAUAAUCACGUGGCAGUCAUGAGAGUUUAGGUUUUGGAACUUUUUCUCUGCCAUGUUUAUUAUUCCCUUUAUAUUCGACGAGAAGCCAGAUGGUACCUUAAUACUGAGCAGGCAUUCAAAGAAGAUUUCCUUCUCUUCUUUGGUAAGAGUGUAGCUUGCAUGAUCCUGAUGUAUGUCGUCUUUUCCGUCAUAUGUUGCUGGUCCUCCCGUGCCUCAGGUGUAUCUUUUGUCUUCCCAUACACGCCCAAGAAGCCAAGCAGGGUCACACAAAGAUUCUUCUUCACGUGCAUCACGUCGAUUGCGGAGCGGACCUCUAGGUCUUUCCAAAAGGGCAGGUCCCAAAAUAUAGAUGUCUUCUUCCACAUGGGUGCACGUCCGUCAGCGUCAUCCGGAACAGGUUGUCCACCAAGACCCUUUCCAAAGACCACCUUCAAAUCCUUGACCAUGUCAUGUACAUCAGCACCAGUACGGUGGCGAGGCUUCGUCCGGUGAUCCGCCUCACCUUUGAAAUGCUUGCCUUUCUUUCUUACGGGAUGCCUGCUCGGAAGAAAUCGACGAUGUCCCAGGUACACAUUCUUCUUACAAUUAGCCAAAUAUAUACUAUCGGUAUCGUCCAAACAGUGCGUGCAUGCACGGUAUCCCUUGUUUGUCUGUCCUGGAAGGUUACUGAGAGCAGGCCAAUCAUUGAUGGUCAUGAACAGCAAUGCCUUUAGGUCAAAUUCUUCCCCCAUGUGCUCAUCCCACGCACGUACACCUGUUCCAUUCCAUAGUUGUAAGAGUUCUUCAACUAAUGGCCUUAGGUACACAUCAAUGUCGUUGUCGGGUUGCUUAGGGCCUUGGAUGAGCACUGGCAUCAUAAUGAACUUCCGCUUCAUGCACAACCAAGGAGGAAGGUUAUACAAACAUAGAGUCACACGCCAGGUGCUAUGGUUGCUGCUCUGCUCCCCAAAAGGAUUAAUGCCAUCUGCGCUUAGACCAAACCAUACGUUCCUUGCGUCAUCUGCAAACUCCUUCCCGUACUUUCUUUCGAUUUUUCUCCAUUGCGACCCGUCAGCGUGUACUCUCAACUUUCCGUCUUUAUUACGGUCUUCUUUGUGCCAUCGCAUCGCCUUGGCAUGCUCUUUGUUUUGGAACAAAUGUUUCAACCGUGGUAUUAUAGGAGCUGAAGGAAAUAUGCCCUAGAGGCAAUAAUAAAGUUAUUAUUUAUUUCCUUAUUUCAUGAUAAAUGUUUAUUAUUCAUGCAAGAAUUGUAUUAACCGGAAACAUAAUACAUGUGUGAAUACAUAGACAAACAGAGUGUCACUAGUAUGCCUCUACUUGACUAGCUCGUUAAUCGAAGAUGGUUAUGUUUCCUAACCAUAAACAAAAGAGUUGUUAUUUGAUUAACAGGAUCACAUCAUUAGUUGAAUGAUUUGAUUGACAUGACCCAUUCCAUUAGCUUAGCACCCGAUCGUUUAGUAUGUUGCUAUUGCUUUCUUCAUGACUUAUACAUGUUCCUAUGACUAUGAGAUUAUGCGACUUCCGUUUGCCAUAGGAACACUUUGUGUGCUACCAAAUGUCACAACGUAACUGGGUGAUUAUAAAGGAGCUCUACAGGUGUCUCCAAAGGUACAUGUUGGGUUGGCGUAUUUCGAGAUUAGGAUUUGUCACUCCGAUUGUCGGAGAGGUAUCUCUGGGCCCUCUCGGUAAUGCACAUCACUUAAGCCUUGCAAGCAUUGCAACUAAUGAGUUAGUUGCGGGAUGAUGUAUUACAAAACGAGUAAAGAGACUUGCCGGUAACGAGAUUGAACUAGGUAUGGGAUACCGACGAUCGAAUCUCGGGCAAGUAACAUACCGAUGACAAAGGGAACAAUGUAUGUUGUUAUGCGGUCUAACCGAUAAAAGAUCUUUGUAGAAUAUGUAGGAGCCAAUAUGAGCAUCCAGGUUCCGCUAUUGGUUAUUGACCGGAGACGUGUCUCGGUCAUGUCUACAUUGUUCUCGAACCCGUAGGGUCCGCACGCUUAAGGUUACGAUGACAGUUAUAUUAUGAGUUUAUGCAUUUUGAUGUACCGAAGGUUGUUCGGAGUCCCGGAUGUGAUCACGGACAUGACGAGGAGUAUCGAAAUGGUCGAGACAUAAAGAUUGAUAUAUUGGAAGCCUAUGUUUGGAUAUCGGCCUUAGUGGGCCUUAGUGGAAGAAGAGAAGAGGCAGCCAGGGCUGGGCCGCGUGCCCCUCCACCCCUAGUUCGAAUAGGACAAGGAGAGAGGGGGCCGGCGCCCCCCUCCUUCUCUCUCUCUCUUUUCCCACCUCACGAAUCCUAUUCCAACUAGGAAAGGGGGGAGUCCUACUCCCAGAGGGAGUAGGACUCCUCCUGGCGCGCCUCUCCUGGCCGGCCGGCCCCCCUCCCUUGAACCUUUAUAUACGGAGGCAGGGGCACCCCCUAGAGACACAAGUUGAUCCACGUGAUCAUAUUCUUAGCCGUGUGUGGUGCCCCCUUCCACCAUAGCCCUCGAUAAUAUUGUAGCGAUGCUUAGGCGAAGCCCUGCGACGGUAGUACAUCAAGAUCGUCACCACGCCGUCGUGCUGACGGAACUCUUCCCCGACACUUUGCUGGAUCGGAGUCCGGGGUUCGUCAUCGAGCUGAACGUGUGCCAAGAACUCGGAGGUGCCGGAAUAACGGUGCUUGGAUCGGUCGAACCGUGAAGACGUAUGACUACAUCAACCACGUUGUGCUAACGCUUCCGUUGUCGGUCUACAAGGGUACGUAGAUCACACUCUCCCCUCUCAUUGCUAUGCAUCACCAUGAUCUUGCGUGUGCGUAGGAAAUUUUUUGAAAUUACUACGUUCCCCAACAGGAGCAUACCACAUCACCUUGGCAGGAAUCUUCUUCCUGGGGCGCUCGCCCUCGACAUCACCAGGGUCAUCGCGGCUGAUCUUAUAGCGCAAUGCACCGCAUACCGGGCAAGCGUUCAAAUCCUCGUACUCACCGCAGUAGAGGAUGCAAUCAUUAGGGCAUGCAUGUAUCUUCUGCACCUCUAACCCUAGAGGGCAGACAGCCUUCUUUGCUUCGUACAUACUCUCGGGCAAUUCGUUGUCCUUUGGAAGCAUAUUCUUUAUCAUUACCAGCAACUUUCCAAAUCCCUUAUCAGAUACACCAUUCUCUGCCUUCUAUUGUAGCAAUUCCAGUGUGGUGCCCAAUUUUUUCUUGUCACCUACGCAAUUCGGGUACAAUAGUUUUUGUGCUCCUCUAACAUGCGCUGCAACUUCUUCUUCUCCAAAUUACUUGCGCAAUUUCUCUUUGCAUCGGCAAUGGCCCAACCUAGAUCAUCAACGGGCUCAUCCGAUGCCUCUUCUUCAGCUUCUUCCCGCAUUGCCGGCUCAGCUUCUUCCCGCAUUACCGGCUCAGCUUCUUCCCUCAUUGUUGUAUCAUCGUAUUCAGGGAACCCAUGGCUAGGAUAGCUGUCGUCGUCCUCUUCUUCUUCAUUAUCUUCCAUCAUAACCCCUCUUUCUCCAUGCUUGGUCCAAACAUUAUAGUGGGGCAUGAAACCGGACUCAAACAGGUGGACAUGAAUGGUUCUUGACGUAGAGUAAUUGUGACCAUUUUUACAGCCAGCACAUGGACAAGGCAUAAAACCAUUCGCCCGCUUGUUUGCCUCAGCCGCAAGCAGAAAAGUACGCACGCCAUUAAUGAACUCGGAAGAGCAUCGGUCAUCGUACAUCCAUUGCCGGCUCAUCUUCAAUACACAGCACCGAAAACACCAAAUUAAUACAAUACAUAAAGUUCAUACAUAAAGAUCAUACAACACUUAAAUGCAACAAACAAAUAACUCUCUAGCUAAAGAAUUUAAAUGCAACAACAAAUGAGAUCAAGAUCGCAACUAAGGUAACAAUUGAUCCAACAACAUAAUGAUACCAAGCCUCACUAUGAAUGGCAUAUUUUCUAAUCUUUCUAAUCUUCAAGCGCAUUUUCUCCAUCUUAAUCUUGUGAUCAUCGACGACAUCGGCAACAUGCAACUCCAAUUCCAUCUUCUCCCCCUCAAUUCUUUUCAAUUUUUCCUUCAAAUCCUCGUUUUCUCUUUCAACUAAAUUUAACCUCUCGACAACAGGGUCGGUUGGAAUUUCCAGUUCAACUACCUCCUACAUACAAAUAUCUAUGUCAACUUGUUGGGCAUAAUUUGUCAUAAACACGAAAUGCAAUGAAUAGUUUUAAAAGAGAAUAUACCACAUCCGAAUCAUAACCCGGACGAGGGCCUACGGGGACGGAUAUCAAAACCAUGGCACUAUGUAUAACAAACAACGUAUGGGUAAGAUAAUUAUACGAGUAACUAUAUAUCCAAAUCACACAAACAUCAAUUUUUUAUAUAAAACUUCAUGAACAAGAGGCUCACCACAAGGUGGUGCCGGCGACGGGACGUUGCGGGCGAUCGACGGUGGUUACGACGGAGAUUUAGAAGGCACUAAGUAAGCCACACCUACAUAUGCAAACUAAGUGUUAUUUUUGACCCCAGAUUGCAUAUAAAUCAAAUACUAGCACAUAUAUAUAAUUCCUCCCAAAUUACUAAACUCAAAAAUCAAACACUAUAUAAAGCAUUGCACGAGCUAAUCUAGCAAUGAGAGAUGAAAGGACAAAGUUGCUAACCUUUGUGAUCAUUUGAAUGGACGGGGGCCUUCAAAUCUUGACAGAUUUUGGGCAAACUGUGUGAUGAGCUUGAGAGGAAGAGGGAAAAGAACAGAGAGGAGAGGGGAAAGGGGAAGAACAGAGCGAGCUCGGGUGGACGAAGGGUCUAUGUAGGACGACCUUUAGUACCGGUUCGUGAUACGAGCCGGUACUAAAGAUGCUGGAGGGGCCCCGGACUGACAACAUCCUGCCACCACUCACUUUAGUACCGGUUCGUGGCACGAACCGGUGCUAAAGGUUCACCACGAACCGGUACUAAUGAUGUCCGCCCGCCUAGCCGUUGGAACCGGCACUAAUGGACACAUUAGUGCCGGCUCAAAUUCAAACCGGCACUAAUGUGCUUCACAUUUAACCCUUUUUCUACUAGUGACAGCCACCGCUCCCGAGACCACAAGGGGAAGCGCCCCACCGAGGAAGUGUGAAAUCUAAUGGCCCUCUCUUAUUUUAGGUUAGUAGUAUUAAGUUAGUUGUGUGAUGAACUCUGUUAGACCCUUUUGGAUCGGAUUGUGAUGAACUUUGAAUGUUAUAUUUAUGUCGAAUUGUUAUGUUUAUAUGUUAUAUGUAUGAUGGAUUACUAUGUUCAUAUGUUGAUUUACAUAGUUUACAUACUGGGCAUGGUUUUGUAUAGAUUUGUGGUAGGACAUAUAAGGGGCAUGCAGGUAUGGAGUGGGGAAAAUGCAGACUGUCCGAUUACCUCCGGCGGACGCAUCUGCAGGUGUAUAGAUGCUCCUCUAACGGUAGCUUUCAGUGGACAUGCAUAUGCAUGCAAAGAAGAACAAGUCUUCGUCCAUUCAUUUAUUUAUUUGCUGAUGAUGAUGAAGGAGAAGGAGGUGCGACGAUAGAAGAGCAAAUGACUUUUUGGAUAGGAGCUAGGAAAGCACGCGUCCAUACCAUGUCCAUGACUGACCCGAUCCAGUGUACGUACGUAGCUAAUAUAGUAGUGUUGUGGUACAGUGCAGCACGUGCCCGGCGCCGGCGGCGAACUUUCAGCGGCUUUAUUUUCUCAUGCAUGUGGUACGUAGCUUUGCAUGCAUCGUCCGAGAGAUAAGACGACACUUGACCCCCAACUAACCACACCUAUAGCUUAAUUAUCUUUUUCUUUUGCGGGAUAUAGCUUAAUUAUCUUCGGUGGCCGCCAUUAACUAAUCAAUCGCUCAACCCGUAGCUUGGUGUCGUUCAGAAUGAUUCCAUAUCCGUUAGAUCCAACUGGAUGCUCUUGCUUGCUCCGUAGAUUAUACCUUGCCAAAUUAGCAAAUACGUGCUCGAUUCAUGCAAUCUGUCGAGCAAUCUAUGCCGCUUUUUUCCUUGCAUAUAUACUAUAAUAAUAUACUAAGUGUGUCCAACAUGCACGUCACUGUGGUGUUAGGUGAAAGUUCACGUGGAAACAAGGAGGAAAGUUCGAGGAAGAGACACGAUCCAGCUGAGGUACCCUACCCGGCCAGUUGAUUUUCUUGACCUUUGUCCAUGCAACUUGCACAUGUUGCAUGUCCCUCUUUAAUUUGCAAUUAGUCUCUCUCUUUCUGCGACUAGUCUUCUCUCUUCUCUAGUUAAUCUCCACGACUUGAACAUCGCAUGUGGAUCAGAUCGAGCCAGCCAGCUCGGUCGGAGGUGACUAGCCGUUCGGUGUAUAAAUAGCAAGGGGUUAGCGGCUAUCUUGUGCAAGCCACACGACCCUCCCUCCCUCAGACGUAGGUCACUAGCUAAGGUCUGCAAGAAGCUAGAAGCUCAGCUUCAGCGAUGGCGUCCAGAGCAGCAGCGGCCAUCGCCGUCCUGGCCUUGGUCUGCGCCGCCGUCCACUCGUCGGAGGGCCAGCUCUCACCCAACUUCCACGCCGCGACGUGCCCGGACCUGGAGCACAUCGUGGAGUUCCACGUCGCCGAGACGUUCCGCCGCGACGUGGGCGUGGCGCCGGCGCUCAUCCGCAUCCUCUUCCACGACUGCUUCCCGCAGGGCUGCGACGCGUCCGUGCUGCUCAAGGGCGCCGGCAGCGAGCUCAAUGAGGUCCCCAACCAGACCCUCCGCCCCGUGGCGCUGGACCUCAUCGAGCGCAUCCGCGCCGCCGUGCACAGCGCCUGCGGGCCCACCGUCUCCUGCGCCGACAUCACCGUGCUCGCCACCCGCGACUCCCUCGUCGAGGCCGGCGGGCCGCGCUUCGACGUCUCCCUCGGCCGCCGCGACGCCCUCGCCCCGGCGUCGUCCGCUCUCGUCGGCCUCCUGCCGGCGCCCUUCUUCGACGUGCCGACCCUCAUCUCCUCCUUCAGCAACCGCAGCCUGGACGUGGCCGACCUGGUGUCCCUCUCCGGCGCGCACACCUUCGGCGUCGCCCACUGCCCGGCCUUCGAGGACCGCUUCAAGCCGGUGUUCGACACCAACCCGGCCAUCGACUCCAAGUUCGCCACCUCUCUCCGGAACAAGUGCGCUGGGGACAACCCCGCCGGCACCCUGACCCAGAACCUCGACGUCCGCACCCCGGACGCCUUCGACAACAAGUACUACUUCGACCUGAUCGCGAGGCAGGGCCUGUUCAAGUCGGACCAGGGCCUCAUCGACCACCCCACCACCAAGCGCAUGGCCACCCGCUUCUCGCUCAACCAGGGCGCCUUCUUCGAGCAGUUCGCCCGGUCCAUGACCAAGAUGAGCAACAUGGACCUCCUCACCGGCAACAAGGGCGAGAUCCGGAACAACUGCGCCGCCCCCAACAGGCGUGUCCAGGAUAUCGAGACCGCCACCACCGGCGACGAGGGGAUCGCCGCCGACAUGUGAGACAUGUUCUAUCGAUGUAACGUAGUGUUGAGUGAGUGACCGUUAAGCCGGUGUGUUUUAAACUUUUAAUUAAUUGUGCAAGCAUGUUGUCAUAGUUAAUAAGAUGAGAGGUCAAAUCGUAUGCAUCUUUUUCUCAGCGUGUGUGUGAUCAUCAGUAACUUCGUAAUGUCUGACCAGGCUGUGAUGCAAGCUUGUCUGAAUUUCUUGUAAUUUACACUCCGCCUUCUAUAAAGUUAAGGCAUGUAAUUUGCGUGCUCUCUCUCAAAAAAAAAAGUAAUAUCCGACUGGGUCAGCUUCAAGACCAACUAGAAACGCAAAGUAGCGUGUCACUCUCAGUGUUACGUCUGGUGUCAACACAAAAAAGAGAAGCCGUCGGUGUCACGUGCUGUAUGAUGGUCAAGACGGCAUAACCGGAUAAUUAGGCCGCCCGGAAACGGUGCUCCAUCUCUCACUGUCAGUGUUACUGCAUGACGGUCAAUACAUACAGCUUAAAUACAUAAGCCGAGAAAUGCUUAACAAAUGACAUACAUGUUCGGGAUGUACUGUACUGGCACGUUACCAAAGUUUAAUUUCUAGUUCGUCGCAGAAAAACGAUUUCUGUAAUGUCAUGAUAGAUUAUGAAUACAUUGGAAGUUUCUUCCGCAAAAAAAAAAAAAACAAUUGUGUUUUUACGAGAAACUGACUUUUUUCUGCAAAAGAAAAACAGUGUCCUCUUUUAGAAUUAUCUAUUGUACUAAUUGAGUUACUUUUUUUAGGGGACUAAUUUUUUUUAACGGGUAACUAGGGACGUUAUUAAGCAUUAAUCAACAUCGGAAUACAAAUAAUGUCUGCUACUGUCCCUAGCCAAAUGUGGCGACCUGCAGCAAGAGAAGAUGCCGCUUUCGCCAGUGCAUGGGCUUCGAAAUUAUUUUCUCUAUGUUCAAACUUGAACUUGACAUGGUGGAAAUCCCUUCUCCUCUCUGAUAUUUCAUGUAACACCGAUGCAUAGUGUGUCGCCGAUGUUGUUUCUAUCCUGUUCACUACUUUCAGACAAUCGGAAGCAAUCAGCAAGCGGGUUAGAUUUAGGUCCGUAGCCAAAGCUAGAGCUUCAUUGCAUGCGUGUGCCUCCAAAGCAACCGCAUCGUUCAAACCGUCGAAAACCAGUGUCGAAGCCCUCAGGAAAAGACCUUCCUUGUCUCUGCAUAUCACCGCUGCUGCCCCAACAUGGCCAUGCCUCGAUAUUCCCCCAUCCACAUUGAAUUUUGCUUCGUCUUCCUCCAGUGGAAGCCAUGCUUUGUUCCGAGGCCAGGUCCCGACAGCUGACAUAGCGAUCGGGUCUUCCCGCUUCACUGCAAUCUCUAGGUCCUGAAGAUACCUCGUGAUAAAACACCAAGUAGACAGCGGGCUCUGAAAUUCGUUGUCAUGGAUUGCUUUUCUUCGCGCCCACCAUAUAGCCCACAUAGUGAUGAAGACUUUUGCAAGCUCCUGUUCAUUUAAUGUUUCAAACAACCAGAAUAACCCCAGCCUGGGAUCCGGUGAUCUAUUAGAAAUGACAUGUUUCAGUACCUCUUCUUCACCAAGUGCCCACACACAGCGGGCCAUACGGCAGUCAAACAAAGAGUGGUGCCAAGUGUCUUCCUGUGCAUUGCAUAAAGGGCAGGCUGCUGUAUCUACCAUCUUUCGGUGAUGUCGGAUAACCCCAGUCGACAAUGAGGUAUGUGCGAGGCGCCAGAAAAAAACCCUGACCUACGAAGGCACCCUCGCCUUCCAGAGGUGGGACCAAUCCCUUUUGGCCGAGGCCUGAUCGGAUGUGCUUGUGCCAUACUCUAUCCAAUCCUCCCGCUGAUACUUUAUACCCGUUAACAUCCUGACACUGAUUUGACCGAGAAGAUGCCUCGCUUGUCAUAGUGCCACACAUAAAAGUCAUCUUGCAGCCUUGAGCUCAACGGGAUAUUCAGAAUAGCAUCCACAUCAGGGCCGACAAAAUGUUCAACGAGCAUCUGCUUGUUCCACGUCCUCGUGACCGAGUCAAUCAACUCCGAGACCUGUUGCGGUGGAUCAGCCCUCAAGGCACACAAAGGCCGCAGCUUAUAGUCACGUGGUAUCCAGUUAUCGCUCCAGAUGUCAGUAUCCGCACCUGUCCCCACUCUUUUGAUAAUUCCGAGUGCUAGGAUCUCCUUACCCUCCAUAAUAGAGCGCCAAACCUCAAGGAUGCUGCAUUGUGGGUAGUAACGUGCCUUGAGCACCCUCGCGCUUAGAGAAUCGGGUUCCUGUAGAAGGCGCCAAGCUUGUCAGGCCAGCAAAGCUAGAUUAAAAAGUUCAAUAUCUCUAAAACCCAUUCCUCCCAUGAAUUUAGGCUUGCACAUAGUAUUCCAAGACACCCAAGCCGUUUUCCUUUCUCCUCUUUUGCUGCCCCACCAAAACUUCCUGAGUAGACCAUUAAUAUGCUCACACGAACCUCUUGGCAAUUUGAAACAAGCCAUGGAGUAUGUUGGUAUGGAUUGUGCCACCGAUUUUAUUAGAACUUCCUUCCCUCCAGCUGAUAAGCACUUUUCCAUCCAUCCUUGUACCUGCUUCCAUAUUCCAUCCUUUAGGUACCGAAAGCACCCCUCCUUUGAACUACCAACAUCAGUUGGUAGCCCAAAAUAUUUCUCCGACAACGAUUCAUUAUGCACAUCAAGCAAUCCUUUCACCUCAUUCCUCAAUGUAUCUGGUACACCUUUGCUGAAGUAUAUGGAUGAUUUGUCUGUGUUGAUACGUUGUCCUGACGCAUCACAAUAUUUCUUCAACAACUCUCGGACUUUAACUGCACUCUCCGUUGUUGCCUCAAAGAAGAGCAAACUGUCAUCCGCAAAGAGGAGGUGAUUUACCGCUGGCGCUGUGGCCGCGACAGAAACUCCUCUAAUCCCUUCUUCUUGAGCUUUCAGUAAGCAAGAGAGGCCCUCAGCCGCCACCAGAAAUAAAUAAGGGGAGAUAGGGUCCCCUUGUCGCAAACCCUGUGAUGGCCUGAAAGCAUCCAGAAUUCCACCGUUAAAGAGAACUGAGAAAGAAACCGAAGAUACACACCUCAUGAUGGUUUCAGUAAACCUCGGGCUGACACCCAUUUUUAGCAUCACCGCUUUGAGAUACGGCCACUCAAGCCUGUCAUAGGCCUUCAUCAUGUCAAGCUUCAGUGCACAAAAGCGAUUGCCCUUCACCCUUCUCGUUUUCAUGUAAUGCAGGCAUUCAUAAGCUGUAAUAAAAUUGUCUGUAAUCAGACGUCCAGGGACGAAAGCUGACUGCUCUUCUGAGAUCACAUCCGGAAGGAUUAUCUUCAGCCUGUUAGCUAAAACCUUGGAAGCGAUCUUGUAGAUCACAUUACAAAGGCUUAUCGGCCGAAAUUGUCCUAAUAUUUUUGGACUUGCAAUCUUGGGAAUCAAAACGAUGAAUGUGUUGUUGAUAUCCUCCGGUGAAUCAUCUCCUUCAAGUAGUCUUAUUACCAUACCUGUCAUCUCGCCACAAAGAUCCCAAUGCCGCUGAAAAAUGUGUGCUGGAAAGCCAUCUGGGCCGGGAGCCUUUGUGGGAAACAUCUGGAAUAAUGCCUCUUUUACCUCAUCUCUAUUGUACCUCGCAUUAGACGGGCGUUCAUUGUUGCAUCGACUCUUCGUGGUAUAUGGGACAGCACCUCCUCGAUCCCAAUAGAGCCCUCUGAGGUAUACAAAUUCUCAUAAAAGGCACUCGUCAUAUCCGCCAAUUCUUGUGGAUCCGAGUAGGUAGUUCCAUCGCCGCGCACCAAAUUACUGAUCUUAUUCUUUGCUUUCCGUGCACUCGCCUUCUUCUGGAAAUACUUUGUAUUUGCGUCUCCUUCUGAUAGCCGUUGCACUCGUGCACGCUACCUCAUCAUCACCUCUUCUCGAAAGGACAACUCGACGAUCCUGUCCUGCACCCGUUUCUCCUCAGGACCGGGGCCAACCCUCAACGGAUCAGCUCGAUAUCCUGCCAGCUACUGCCUCAGAUCUCUCAGCUCCUGCCGGACAGAGCCGAAUGUUUGUCUGCUCCAUCGCUUUAAGCUUGCUGCAACGUUGUUCAGCUUGUGCGCCAGCUCGCCUACUGUGUUUGCUAGGAGUGCAGCCUCCCAUGCUUGUCCCAGAGCCUCACCGAACCUAUCGUCAGUUUCCCAUGCGCACUCGUAGCGGAAAGGUUUCUUCAGUGAGUGUCUCAAGCUACUAUCUUCCAACUCAUUUGAAAAGACGAUCGGGCGGUGGUCAGACUUUGCAGCGGUGAGGUGUUCAACUGAAGCAAAAGGAAACAAAGCCGACCAGCUGGGAGUAGCUAGGGCUCUGUCCAGUCGUACGUGGCAGAACUCUCCCCCCACCACUCUCUUUUCGAAGGUCCAAUCCAAUCCCUUAUACCCCAGCAAACAUCAACAGCUUCUCGAAAACCUGCAAUUUGUGCACUGUCCCGUUCAUUUGGUCCCAUUUGUUCCUCUGGCCGAAGUAUCUCAUUGAAAUCCCCCAUGCACACCCAAGGCAUCGUGCUCUCACCUCUCAGGAUCUUCAUCGUAUCCCAAGUUUUGUACCUCAAGCUCCUGUUUGCAGCUCCAUAAAAGCAAGAUAAACACCAAGGUUCCUCCCUAGGUUGGGAAAUCACCGAGUCAAUAUGAUACUGAGAAAAUGUUUUUAUUCCGAGAUUGAUAUUAUUCUUCCAAUACAAGCACAAACCCCCACUUCUUCCACUACUACCUACUCCAAAACUACUGCUGAAACCUAACCUACUCGCCAAACCUUCCACUCGGUACUUUGCCAGUUGAGUUUCAACAAUGCAUAGCACCGACGGCGCACUAGCCUCCACAAGAUCGCGGAGCUCAUGAACUGUUGUAGGGUCGCCAAUUCCUCGACAGUUCCAGCACAUAGUCCUCAUUGGGCUCGGCGGUCCUCCUCUCCGGAGGCCGCCUUAGAUGUGUACUCAGCUCCAUCCACAACCAUCCCCUCAUCCUGCUUCCUCCGCUUCACUUCCUGCACUUUCUCUGGCGUAGAUGUCGAUUCAUUGGCGCCUGAAGAGGUAGCACCCUCAAUACGGAGGACCGAACCUGCCACUCUGCCAGCUAAAUUCGGGACCGAUUGGCCCCUUACAUUGACACUGCCAUCCGCUGCCACCAGCCGCUUGCGGGCUCCUUUCUCACCUACCUCUUCCCCGUGCUGGUACCCCAGAUCAGGCUCCGUUCCAUCCAUCCUUGCCCGCUGUGUAUCAGCAGCAGCCACCUCCUCUCCAAAAUCUCCUCUCCCUCUUCCACCCCCCGAGCCCCUUCCUCCUCGGCCUCCCCUUUCUUCUCUGCCAACAUCCCUCCAACUACCUCUUCCCCCACCAUCCCCUCUCCCUCUCCCACCUAAACCUUGAGUUGUCGUCAUCUCCGGCUCCCAAAGCAACCACUCCCCCCAUUCGAAGGUUCUCGGGUCGUGAACCCCGUCACCACAUUCAUCAGCUAAGUGUCCCAUUCUUCCACAAGCAAAACAGAAGUCUGGGAGCUUCUCAUAGUAGACACUAUAUCUCUUGUACUCCUUUAAAGUAAUUGGCACAAAACGGACCAAUGGGAUAUUGACAUCCACAUAAACCCUAACUCGUAGGGUGCUAGCCGGGUUUAUUCUUCCCUCAUUCAUGAUCAUGUUGAAAGGUGGACCCCCCACCUUUGCAGCAACUUUCUCAGCCAACUCUCUCCUCCUCGUAAGGCCAUCUGGCAACCCCUUCACUCUCGCCCAGACGGGUAUCUUGUUUAGUCUGUAACCUUUGACAUCUGAAAAACCAUCAUAUUCUUGUAGCACCACCGGAGCCCUCNNNNNNNNNNNNNNNNNNNNNNNNNNNNNNNNNNNNNNNNNNNNNNNNNNNNNNNNNNNNNNNNNNNNNNNNNNNNNNNNNNNNNNNNNNNNNNNNNNNNNNNNNNNNNNNNNNNNNNNNNNNNNNNNNNNNNNNNNNNNNNNNNNNNNNNNNNNNNNNNNNNNNNNNNNNNNNNNNNNNNNNNNNNNNNNNNNNNNNNNNNNNNNNNNNNNNNNNNNNNNNNNNNNNNNNNNNNNNNNNNNNNNNNNNNNNNNNNNNNNNNNNNNNNNNNNNNNNNNNNNNNNNNNNNNNNNNNNNNNNNNNNNNNNNNNNNNNNNNNNNNNNNNNNNNNNNNNNNNNNNNNNNNNNNGCCAAACUCCUCCUCGACCCCCUCUGCCUGGUUCCGCACAUCCUGCGAAUUCUGAUCUUGCCUAUCCUUCCCCCUAGUCUCCUCCUCAGCCCCCCCUCUCGCCUGCCCCGAUCCACUUGGCCGAGCCGCCGCCGCCAACGCUACUACAUCCGCCCUCGCUUCCCCCAUCCCCCCUUGCACCUGAGUCGUUGGGUCCGCCAUGCACGCACGCACACACGACGGAAGAUGAUAGAUCUCACCGACAGCCAAAGACGAUCGGCAGCCGAAGAGAUUUUACGUGGACUCCGGCAGGAUCGCCGGAGGAUAGGUGGAACCCUAAGCGGAAACCCUAGGGGAAAAACUCUCUAGUCCGUGGUGGUCAUUGAGUUACUGCAAAAGGAAAAACUCAGAGCAGUUCAACUGGGGAGCUAAGAAUCAUGAACGGGCCGUGGAUCUUGACGGCUUUUUUUAGUUUCGGCCGCCCACUCCUUCGCUUCCAGUCUGCCACACUACAUGGUCUGAGCGUGGUUGAAUAAAACGGAGUGAUUGAUCCUAAAAAAAACUACAUGAUCUGAGCUCGUGUCCAGCUGGAUGUUUUACUCAAGAUUUAAAAAAAACCAGUAAGAGGUGAUCAUCGGCAACAUCUCAAUGGUUUUUUUUCGGGUGAACAUCUCAAUGUCUAACUAACCUGUAGGACGCCAUGUCACCGAGAGUGCUACUGUGCAGCGGCGAGUCUACCAGGGGGCUUCAACAGGCUGAAGCCUACCCUCCAGAAAAAUGAAUCUUUUUUACUACUAAACUAAUCUCGUCCCAGCCCAAUAGCCCAACUUCUCAGCCUAUGUAUUAGCAAGUAGCGAAUAAACAACGCCGCACACCCACAGAGAACAGAACUGGCGACUCACAGCGGCGGCAGCCAUGCGUUCAUGCUCAUACUCCUACCGUAGCGCCGCCCGCGGGGGACCAGGCUACCGCCAGGGGAGAUGGUUGUGGUAGAGCUCAGCCGUAGCCACAGCUGAUUUAGGCGGGGGAUGCAGUCUGCAGGAGCUCGCCGGCCUGCCGACAUGAGGGAGCCAGGGGCGAGCUGGGCGGCUGCUGGCUGGGUAACUGAACCGGAUGCAGGUUAACUAAUUUAGUGUCCAAUGGAACUAUUUGCAGAUUCGCAAAAAGAAUUGAGGAGAAAACAUACGAGUAUAUGCAUAGUUCUGAACCUAUCCCAGCUUGUGCAUAUGUAAUCCAAACUUUGGUCAAAAUUUUCAUAUUUUAAAAUAAAUCUAAGAAAUUCCAGCAGAAAAUACGUACAUGUUUCCGAUACUAAUCUGGAAAAAUUGAAGCUUAUUUGGACCACGGGAUUAUGAGGCAAUGAUUUGUUUCUUUAAAAUGAUGUUUAGUUCUCUCAGCGUUAACUUUGAGCCCACCCUUCAUUUUGUUCCUAGAUUCGCCACUGCUACUAUGUGCUGCUACACUGUCAUUGUUAGUGUUCACUUUAGGAUGCUCGGGUUCCACUCAAAAUGAGAAUCAUGGCGUGGAAGGCUGUGUCAGGAGCGCUAGCAACUAACUAUUGCAAGAAAUAUAGGCACAUAUCCACUCGAGAUACAUGCCCUCUAUGUGGUACAGAAAAGGAGACCAGCUUCCAUGCGCUGGUCACUUGUGAUUAUGCUCGAGCAGUGUGGACGCAGAUGCGUUCAGUAUGAAACCUCCCUGAUCAUCAACUGCUGCGGGACACAGGUAACGAGUGGCUUCUGAACAUUCUAGUGAAUUGCAAUGAUGAAAUGCAGGAUUGCACCAUCAUGUUAAUCUGGAGGAUUUGGACGAUGCAGUCGGACAUGGCGCAUGGCAAAGAUGUACCGGCUCCGGCGGUAACGGCCGACUACCUUCAGAGUUAUAUGCACUCGCUACACUUGGCUAGGAGGUACUCUACAGAGGAGAUCAUCAAGGGGAAGAUGCCAGUGCAGUACGAAGCUCCGGUCAGGUCGUGCGGUGAGGCGGCGCGGCUACCAUGGCCGAGACCGGUGGAUGGCCAAGCAGCGUUAUCGGUCGAUGGGUCGUUUCUAGCUUCGGAUGGAUCAGCGGCAGCGGGUAUGAUACUAAGAAGAUAUGAUGGUACUGUCAUAUUUGCAGCCUAACGGUGUAUCUUCAACUACAAUGAUGCACUGGAGGCGGAAUUACAUGCAAUAAUGCAAGGAAUGGCAUUGACAAUUCAGCACUGUAAUCUUCCUAUCAUGGUUCAAUCCGACUCCUCACAGGCUCUUUUCGGCAUAUGGUCACUUAGUUGCUGAGAUUCAUCAUCUUAUGGGUGAAAGAGAGUUUAUUCCUUCGAAAAUUAAGCGAGAACAGAAUAGGAUAGCAGAUCGUUUAGCUAUGUAUAGUCGUACAGAGAGUACUAUAGCUGUAUGGCUUGGGCAGGGCCCUCCUUGUAUUGAGGAGCUUUUGCCGUUUGAUUGUAACUCUAUGAAUAUGAAAUAAAACUCUUUUACCACCGAAAAAAUACAGCUUAAGCUUGCCAUUUAAAGUAGAGAAAGCAUGUACAACAAAGUAGUUUUAUGACCUGAACAACAAGAUAUAAGCAUUACCGUUUAGUUGUGAAGUUCCGGCACUGCACCAUUUUUUUAUAUGCACAUAUAAGUGAUUUUUAGAACUUGCACAUAAAGUAAUUGACAUGAAAAAAACAUAUAUGCUUUGCAGUAACUAGUGUGGGCUUUCUGCAAAUCAAACAACUCCUUGAGUGGGCUUGGCGGAGUCUAAACAUUGAUUGGCUCGGGAAUACCAACGCCGGUGAGCAAUUUUAGGCAGCAACGACAUGGUUGGCCGGCUGUUUGAGACGUCAGUUUGACGCCUUUAGUGUUAAAUAAUGUUAGGGAAAAACUAAUGCCCACAUGUGUGGCAUCUUGCACAUUACCCACACGCCUUCACCAUUCAAUUAUUCACGUAUGAACAAAUAACAUCAGCAGGAAUCUUUUUGGUUUUUGGCUUAAAAAUGUUUUGUCUCCUAAUUACAAAAUUGAAUUAAAAAUCCGUUUUCACCAUUAAAUACGUCUCGACGAGAUCUUUAAAACUAGACCCCAUGUUGAUAUGUUUCGAUGAAUUUUUUUUUGCUCAAAAGUUGUCAUGAUGUUUACACUGUAGUUGCCAUAGUGCUUAAACUAAAAUUGCCAUGUGAAAAUUUUAGUUUGUAGAGCAUGGCAAUUUAGAUUUUUUUUAUGAUGGCAAUUCCAGUACUUUGAUUAUGAAAAUUAUUUUUUAUAUGAAGCAUGGCAAUUUUAAGUGCAUGUAUCAUGGUAAUUUUAGCUUAUGGUUCAUUUCAAGUCUAGUUUCUUAAUUCGUCGUUUUAUAAUAUGUCAAAAUUACUUUUAAAUGUAAAAUAAAAUAGCUGAAACAUAUCAUGACAACUUCAGUGUAAACAUUAUGGCAAUUCAUGUGCAAUAGACAUGGUAACUUUUAACCCCAAAAAAUUACAUCGAAAUAUAUUGAUAUAAGAUCUAGUUUCGAAAAUCUCCUCACGGGGAUUUAAUGGUGAAAACGGAUCUCCAGUCGGAUUUUUCAUUUAAGAGAUAAAAUAUUUUAAAAACUGAAAAAUCAAAAAGAUUUCCAAAUGCAUGCAUCGAUGACGUGAUGCAUACUAUUUGUUAUAUGGUGUGUAGGCGGGUUUGGCUCGCACCACACAUAUGAGCAUUAGCGUUGUCCUAAUGUUAAAUAAUGAUACCUCCUAUUUGGUUCUACGCUCCUUGCGCCAAAUAGGUGGGUGACACACACAUGCCGUGACGGACUGGCCCAAUGCAUUUUAGUCUAAGCUGCUAAAGCGAGUGUUGCUACAAUAUUUUUGUUUUACUAGAUUUUAGAUGCUUCUUCUUUUUGAUAUUUUCUACUGUAUUUCUCACGAGAUUUUAUUAAUUAUCAAAAUAAAUCGUGAAUAUUUUUCAUGAACAUUCUUUAGAAAGUGGACAUUUUAGAAUUUUUAUAUGUUUUGGAAAAACGAAAUAUUUUCUCAAAUUGUGAAUAUUUUUUAAAAACUGCACACAUAUUUUGAAAACUGUGAUUGCUUCCAAAAAAUUUGGAACUGCUUUCUAAAUUCCAAAAAAAUUUAAAAAUAGCCUAUAUUUAUUUAAAAACUCCAAUAGUUUUUCUAAUUUCGUAAAGUUUAAAAAUAUGAACAGUUUUCAAAAUCAUGAAUUUUCAAACUUGUAAACAUUUUUUGAAAGAAACACUCAAAACAUAAUAAUAAUAAUAAUAAUAAUAAUAAUAAUAAUAGAAAUACAAAAAACAGCAAAUUAACUUCUAGAAGGUUCCUAAAACCGAUAAUAAAUUAGUGUGAAACCUUCUAGAAGGUUUGAGCCGUGCCAAAAACUAUAAAUAACGGAGUCUUGUUUGAAGCGUCAAAUAAGGGAAGUCUAAAAUAGAGGCGUCAAAUAGUAAGGGCUACACACAGGUUCAAGCCUAGUUGGCCAGCCCACUCUGCCAAUGCGUGGUGCACUCCCUUGAGCGACUUCCUUUUAUUUCUUUUUCAGUCGAUUUUCCUUUGGAAAACUAACUGUUGGAUCGUUUUUUAGGAAUUAAAUAUUUAGGAAAUGCUAAAUAAAAUAUAUUAAAAAUAUAUUCGUCACAUAUUAAAAAAUCAGUGUGUCUUUAAAAAUGUUCAGUGUAUAUUUAAUAUAUUCACUAUAUAUAAAUAAGUUCACCAUAUAUCUAAAAAUGUUCACUGUAUAUUAAAAAGUAUUCACCAUAUAUUGAGAACUUUUUCAUUGUACAGUAAAAUUAUUAAAACAAUGGAGAAGUGCAAAAGAAAGAAAAGCAAAAGGAAAACCAGAACCCUGAUGAAAAGGGGAAAAACACUUAAACAGGAUCAAAAAACCGAAUAAGAAAAAGAGAUUGAAAAAUGAAUUAUAAAUUGGAAAGGGAAAAAUAAAACAGCUAAAACCAGGCUAAACGGAAACACCCAAACAAAAUCAGAGAGAAAACUCAGUGAAACCGCUCAGGUGCGGCAGUAACUAAAUGCCAACCUGGGCGAGCUCAGCGGGUCGCUGCGGGCAAUUCAACAACUAUUUUACACCAUAUGAAUUGCACAGCGUUCUCCGCCAUUACUGAUCACUUUGUGCAAACACUUCCAGGUAUCCCCAAGACUGCAACUGCCGCACAUACAACGUCAUAGAACCUCGACUUAUGUACUAUUCUAUAUUUAAAUAGCUAGCUUUAAUUAACUAUUUCUCUCAUGGAACCAUGUCAUCUCAGCAUGCUUUAUACAUGGCAAAAAUCUCACCUCAACAUACAUCCCUUAAUGCUGCAUCCAGCUAGGGGAUGACAAACGUCCAAGACUCCAAGUGGAACUAGAUUACCAGGUUCCGGUGACAGCGUUGCGAAUUCACGGAUCUCUCUCAACAGUAUAAGUGUAUAAUCAGAAAAAUAUAUCAUAACUAAAGCUGAGAUCGAACUUCUAAAGUUUUAUCACUUUCAAUGCGUUCAUAAAGGUAUAUAUUAGAAAACUAAUCAUCUCAAAAUCGAUGUUUGCGCUCCUACAGAUCCGAGACAUGGUAGUUAAGUCUAGAAAUUAAGGGUACUAGAUCAUUGAUGGCGCGUGUUGCCGCGCCCGUCCAUUUUGACGGUAGAAUGAUAGAAAUUGUCAUAAAUAUAUGGAGGCAAAAGCUAAACAAAACCAAAAUGUGAAUUACGGGAAACUAAAAUAUGUUGAAAUAAGUUGUUCCAAGCAUGUUUCCCUUUUGUUUUGGUAUGUGAGGUAUUCCAAUAUAAUCAGUAGUAAAGUAGAAAUUGAAAAGAGAAAAUGCUUUUUGUUCACAAUAAGAAGAAAAAUUGAAAUUGCCCAAUAUCUGAACUAUUUUGUGUCAGUUUAUAUACAUAAUGAUAUACUUACUAAAUAUCUCCACAAGCCUACUUCUAGAGCACACACGUUCCUGCGCCCAUAAAGUUUUUCAAUAAUAGGUUUUUUUUGCCAAAAUAUGAAAGGCCAUGACAAAUCAGGUUAUAAAAAUCAUUAUAAUCCAAAAAUUCUAUCAUGUAGUUAACAAAACCAAACUAUUUUAUGCCAAAAUAUGAUAGGAUUUUUUUGUCAAAAAAUAAAACCACACCAAACUCAAAUGUAAGCUUACUACUUGAUCUAUCUUAUAAACUAUCGAUAUCCUGGUGUGUGAAUUGCACCUUAAAGAUAUACCCAUUAUCAAACAUGAGUCGAUAUGAUUGUAGUUAUAAUAUGAUGACAUCUUGGUUUCCAACUUUGAUAGAGCAGAAUAGAAACACAUGAAAGAUAAACAAACAAGAUCUAUCCUAUAAACCAUCGAUACCUUGGGGUGUGAAUUGCACCUUAAAGAUAUACACAUUAUCAAACAUGAGCCGAAUUAUUGUAGUUGUAGUAAGAUGAAAUAUUAUUUUCCAACUUUGAUAGAGCAGAAUAGAAACACAUGAAAUAUAACAAACAAGCCUACCCAAAUAGAAAUGCAAUAGUGCAUAAUACUAUACUAGCAAAAGAGCCCGUGCGUUGCAACGGGUACAAAAUGAACUUAACAAUUCAUAUGGUAUUCGACUCCCAUGGUGCAAUAUUGAACUAUAGCUCGCAAUCAGUCGGCUUCUGCCUCGACUUAUCUUUCCUUUGGUGUAAAAUUGUUGGGCAUUCGGCAGCCAUGCUACUAUUAAGAUGCAAUACUCAUCCUUUGAAAAAAAGAUACUCCCUCUUAUCCAAAAUAAGAGUUGCAGUUUUAAAAUGGGGUUAGUUCAAGACUGCAACACUUAUCAGGGAUCGGAGGUAGUACUAUUUAGAUAUGUGUAUGUAAAAACGACAUAUAAAGCUUCACCAUAUAUGAACUGCAAAAAUACAAAAAUACAUUAUCGUGUUAGGAUGAUCUCCACCGUGUGGGCCCAACGGCCCACCGGGCCCUUAGAUCUGUGCCCUGAUCGGGGGCGCUCAACCCACUAUGGUUGACAGGCCCCUGUCACCUGCACUAUAUAAAGAGGUGGGGGCCGGCGGCUCGCAUCACGAGGUUCGUCGCACAUUCGUACACCCCACCUAAUCCCCUACCGAUCUAGGGUUAGUGUAGUGCUGAUGGGAAGCUCUGCCACCACUACUCUCUGCCAUCACCGGCACCGGCACCAUGGCCGGCACCAGGAGCUCCUCGAGCCACAAGGAAAGGUAAUACCUAUCGCCACUACCGGAAUCCCCAUGCCCACUGGAUCAAUAGACACUAUCAAUGGUAUCAGCCCAGGUUGGCGUUGUGGAUUUUUGGUAGCAACAAAAAUCCCCCCCUCCCUAAAGAACCCUAGUAGGGCAGAGAAAAGCAAACAAAAGUUCACCGGAGAAGGCCUUGGGCCGCCGGCAAAGUGUGCCGCCACUCCGACCGCGCCUGUUCCUCUCGAUCCCCACACGCAUCGGCAAGCCGAGGUGCGGGGACGAAGAACCACCCCACACCGGGGCAAAGGGCACCACCACCAAGCCAUUUGACGGCGGCGCGUUCACCCUCGAGGUGCUCGCGCACGCCGGCAAAGGGGCCGGCAGGGGCGCCGCCGCGGGCGCACGCCGCAACUCCAUCGCAUCUGGAAACUGCAGUCGCGCGCGAAGGGAAGCAAACGAGGCUCUGCUCGCGCUGCUCGCGUCUCUAUCUCGCUGGGGCGGUGGUGGAUGGAAGAAAGGAAAUGAGAAAGGGAGGGGAAAGGGAAGGCAGCUCGCGCGGGCAGCGACUUCGUCGCAGUUGCCGGUGACCGGCGCGACGCGGUGACCCGCGGUCGGGUCGACAGAGAAGUGAGCGGCGCGCACGGGGGGAGAAUGGCCUAGGGUUUUCCCCUCAGUAGCGUCGCCAACUGGUUUUGAUCCAGCGAGAUGCACGGGCCACCGUUGGAUCGCCAUGAACGGCAGAGAUAGAAAACCUAAGGCACUACGGGCUUUUUGGGCCGAAACCGCUGGCCAGCUUAGCUGCUGGGCCGGCAGAGCCGGCGACCCAACCCGGCAGCCGCGGGGGACAGGCGAGUAGGCCGUGGGCCGGUUUUCUCACCGUGGGGGACAGGCGGCGCCGCCAGCUGGCCGUGGGCCAAGAGCAGCAGGCCGCAGAGCGACGCGAAUGAGCAGGCUAUGGGCCGCCGGCGUGAAAGAAACGGCCCACGCACAGAGUUUUCUCUGAUAAUUUUUACAGAGCACAGUUUUCA